ACACAAAAGUACCUAACACACACAUUCAUAGUAAAAAACCGAAAGAAAGCAUUAUAAAAAAAGGCUUAAUGAGGAAGGUGCUGUAUGGUAUCUAGUAGGGGUGUAAAUGGUUCUGUUCGGCUUGAUUUUAAUGGGAAACCAAAAUCAAACCACAAUAUUACUAAGAAGUCCAAGACUGAGCUGAACCACCAGCAUAUCAUUACCGAACCAACUAACUGUUGGUCGGUUUGUUCAGUCAAACUGGUUGUUCACAUGUCUACAAUACUGUCAUGCACGUGGUUACUGAGAAUUGGUGGAGGACAGAAAUCCAAUAUAUUAAACAAAAUAUUGAAUAUACUGCUGCUUGAACUCAACCUGGCUUAUAUCAGUCUUACUCCAACGCCAAAUAUACCACCAACACAAUUUGAGAAAAUAACUCAAACGUUAUAUAUAUUAUAAUUGGUCAGUUCAGUUUGAAUUGGUUUGUUCUUUGCCAAAUUCAACCUGACUGUAAGUUUUUGGUUUUUUAAAUUUCAAACCAAAAAUGCCAAACCAACCAGUUUCAAUCUGAACCAACAAGCGGUUUAAAUCGGUUUAAGAUUUUUUUUUUGGGUUUGUCCUUGCACCUCUGGUACCUAGCCGUAUUCUCGCUCCGCACUACCUCCUAGUUUGACCUCACAUCUAAAUGGGUCAAAUGUGACCAAAGCAAAAUAGGACUCCAAUGGAAUUUAAUUUGUUGCUUUAUCAACAAGAUGCAGAUGGUUGAACUAAAACUUCCUGCAGGAUUUUUAUUAUUGCUGUUCUUGUUGCUGUUGUUCUCUCUCUCUCUCUCUUUCUCUCAUACUCCCUCUCUUUCUCUCUCCUCAGUUAUUAUUAUACAAUUUAUUCAUACGGAUAGCUUCCCAUGAAGAAGAUACAUCCGUAUGAAUCAAUUGCUAAGUCUUUGGUUGAGUGGGAACGGGUAAACAUAAUACAUUUUGCUGUUACUACAUAUUCGGAACUGGAUGCUUACCAAGUCAAUUUCAUCUUAGCGUUCGAAAAUUUGCAAUUAUAUGAUGAUAUUCUUAACAUUUAAUUGCUUCAUGCAGACUGUGAAGGCAUAUCUCAGACGGGGAACUGCCAGAGAGUCUCUUCUUCUCUAUAAAGAAGCCAUCAAAGGUGAGAGUUAUGAUUUUUUCACUAUUAGACUUCAAACUGUUUAUAAUUCAUCUGAAGAUGGAUUGUUCAUGUUCUAGCUCUGCUCUUUCUUUGCCUGUAAGCGUAUGUAUGCAUUUUCAUAACUAAAAAUAAAUAAUCUUUGGACAAUCCAUCAUGAAUGUUGAAUGCAAUCAAGUUAAAAGAAAUUAUACUCACAUAGAUUGAUUUUGUGCAUCUAGUAGAACUUUUGGCUAAUCAUUUAGUUGUAUAGUAUUCUUUAGAACGCUGAAAAUUUCUUAGAGUGAAACUCAUUACGAGGUUUUUAGAGAGAGGUUUGAAUACUCAAUACGAGUCUCCCCUGAAAAAGAGAACAGGGAUGUCAAGUCUUGUCAUUGUAGGCUAUUAGUGGUUUGGUUUUAUUUCUGUAAUAACGUCUUCAGAUGCAUAUUCAUGAUUCACAUAAGAUAGUCGUUAACUUAUCACUUUUCGUACGGUUGAGUUUGUGUGCAUUCAUAUUCUGAUAUGUUUUCUCUAUUAAUGAAAGUGUGUUUCGGUACAUGUUCAAUAAGUAUUUGCUUUUCUGUCUCAUAACUUUUGCAGAUUUCAAGCAUGCUCUUGUUCUCGAACCACAGAAUAAAGUUGCAAAUCUUGCUGAAAAGCGAUUACAAAAACUGAUCAGUUGAGGAUGCAACUCUUGUAUGGAAAAUGAAAAGGAAAACCCAAAUUAUACGACUCCAAGCUAAGAAGAAAAUAUAAAAAUAAAAAGAACAAAAGUCAAGGUGAUAUAGGCAUUGUAAUUGUGAAUUGUGGAAUGAAAGUGAAGGGUAGAGUUGGAAACGAGUCAGAGCCUAGCGGCUGCUCUGCCAAUUUUGUUGGUAUAUAUGAAACUGUAGUCAGCCUUAUUUUGGCACAAGACCUUGUAGAAUAAUUAUCCUUUUGACCGUCCAGAAUUUCAAUUGGGAUUCUGGGUGUUUCUUUAGUGUUGUGAAAUAUUUUAUUUUCAUCUUUUUCUAUUCGAGUUUACCGUUAUCCUUUAUGCUGAUUCUCGAGAACUGUUGGGAGAAAGAUGACAGAAAGGAUCGAAAGUGUGUUUUGAAAUUGAGAUUUUUUUACCUUUGCUAAUGUCGAAUUUAGAUGAAAUGACCGAAAUAGAACCUCGAGCAUGUAAAUUGAGCUUUCUUGCUCUUAGUGUUAGUUUAAACAUCUCGUUCAACAACUUGAUGAAGGGUGAAAGAAUUUUAUGGAUAAUACUUGUGCUCGGUAUUUGGAAAUUAGAACAGUUGAAAUCAUAUAUAAAUAUUUUGAUAAUUAAGAGAAUUAACUUUUCUCUCCAAACAAUUUCAAAGUAUUGUUUUAGAAUGUACAAUUAGAUUUAGUAGAAAUGCAAUUACAAAGUAAAUAUUUUCUUGUGUACAUCAAACACCUCUGAUGAAGAGAGUUGUGGUUCCUGCUCAAAAACAUCAAAAUAUCCAAAAAAAAAAACAGAAAUUAUGUUAGUUCUAAAACAACUAUAUAUCCAUUGUGAUUUUUUUUUUAAAAGAGUAGAAUGAUAAAUAGGGAAAAGAAUAUGACCUGAAUUUUUUUAUAACGAAGCAAUUUUCUUAGAAAAGAACAAGAGAAACAUCCUUGUUUGUUGGCCCUUUGAACAGUAUCAUGCAUGUAUUGAAGCAGACGUCCGUACGUCAAAUCUCCAAAAGUCUUUACCAAAUGAAUCAAAAUAAAUGUCAUUGCUCCAUUCAUUGUCUUCCCUGUUAGUAUCUGCAUUAUAAUAUAUACACAUAUCAUUCUCCUGUUAUCAUCACCUUCUACUUCCAUGUAUGUAUUUUCAUUCGCAUGAAGUUCUAUUGGUAUGUGACAUUUUAAGUGAAACUAAAAACAAAAGUCAUGAGAGUCAUUAAUGCCAAUAAAUUGAACUUGUCACGUUAUUUUGUGGGGUGGUUGUCUUUAAAAAUUGGUAUCAACCACUGUUAAAAGCUCUAUUGUACAGAGGGUGCGCUUAGAAAAAAAGAGUUAAAGACCGAUGGUAUCAAGUAGCUUUUUGUUUUCUAAACCCAACCUAAAAGUAUAGGGAAGUAUAAGACAGCCACGACAAACUACUAUAUGUAUCUACACAAAUAUGAUACAUACAAGUAGUACUCUAUCUUGAUCCAUCUUAUCGUGAUCGAUCUCAUAAUAGAUGGUGAUAUUUUAUUUUAAGAAUAGAUGGUGAUAUUUUAUUUUAAGAAGUUUCGUCAAUUAAGAAGAGAAAGCAAGAAAAAACGUAAAAGAAGAUGAGGAAUAAUAUGUGGUCUUACAGAAGUAUCAGCAGCAAAUUGAUCAUCUCCACAAGCACUCAUAGAAAUUGCCAAUCCACCACUAGUCUCCUUCCUCGCCCCUGAUGGCGGCCUAUUAUCCAACCACUCAUCUCUUCUCCACACACACAAAAGAGAAAAAAAUGAAACCAAACCAAAAUCAAAAGAAAAAGAAAAAGAGAGAGAGAGAGCGUCAUCCAUCAAAACCUGUCGCGGUCGUAAACAUAGGCAAGAUCGAGAAUCGUUCCGCUAUGGCAGGCAUCGACAAUGGCGUGGAGAGUGACACCGUUCUUUAGAGGCGAAACAAUGGUGGCAUUGAUCUCAUUAUCGGUUAUCAUCCCUUCCUCCAUGAAGUCAACUGGACAUAUAGUCUCAUCGUAGCCAUCGAGCUCGUCCAUGUCGAAAUCUGGCUGUCGUAGUCCAUGGCCGGAGAAGUAGAACACAAGAUUAUCGCCCCCAGUGCAACCUUCAACUAGCCAUUUUAGACCGUUUUGGAUGUUCUUCUUUGUUGGCAUUUGCUCGGGCUUCGUUUCAUCCUCUGUUGAGGUAAAACAAUAUUAAAUUUUCAUCAACAUUUUCAUUAUAUCAUACAACACACUUGUAUAUGAGUUCAAAGUUCGACAUAAUAUAUAUAGCCACAAAUUUCUCUUUCAAUAGGUAAAAAUGGAAGACACCAAAAACAAAAAUAGAUUUCAAAGACCAUUUAUGAAUUAAAGUAUGAAUUGGAUAUAUAGUAUUAGGAUUGUAGUAUGAAACAAUACUAAAGAGUUAAUACCACUUUAGACCUAAAAUCAUGUGAUUAAUUUACAAAAUAUGACUCUUGUAUUUAGACUUACUACUCAUUUGGUAUGUGUAAUCAACAACUCUAACUCUUUAAAUUUUUUCCUAUUUAUAGAAAUAACUUCACAGCAUGGAGAUUAUGUAAUGCUUACUUUCAAACUAUUUGUUUAUAAAGUAGUAAUAUUCUUUGUUCUUAACAUUUUAUCUAUCUCACAUCUUUCCUCAACUAUAAAAAAAAUACCAUGUAAUUGACAUAAACGAAAAGAGAGGGAUUUGAACCCUCGGUACAAAAAAAAUCGUACAAUGGAAUAGCAAUCCAACGCUUUAGUCCACUCACUCAUCUCUCCCCAAAUGGAAAAAGGAUAAUUACCUACUAUGAUACAUUGUACAAAAAUUAGAAAAUAAAGUCUUGGGAAAAAGCCCUCUAUUAUCUCCCCUUUGGUACAUAUAGAUAUAUAAUUAAUAGAAAAGAUGCUUAGAUGACAAAUAAUAGACAGAAGAAGAAGUAUCAUAUUCUUGUUAGUAUUGACUAUUGAGAUUUUCCUUUUUAAUUGAGGGUUUAGAUGAGGUGAAGUGGAAAGUAUUUUCCAUCUUCAACAAUAUCUCUCUAAAUUUAAUUAAAAUUAGUCAAAAGUAAUGUCGAAAGUUAUAUAUAUAUAUAAAGGAUUUUAAAGAUACUUCAAAAGAAAGGCAUUCUUCAAAAGUGAUUAUAGAAACUAAAAAGCAUAUAUAGGAAAUGAUGCUCCACUAAAAGAAAAAAAAAAGUAAAAAUCACUUCCUAUCUUCUAAGUCUCAUCAUUUGAAACUCAUCAAAUUGUAAAAAAUGACAAAGUAGGUUAAAAGAAAGUAAAGUAGGUUAAAAUAAAGUACAUAAAUAGUUUGCUUUUCAAUUGUGUGUAACCUAAAAAUUGAUUAAUGCAUUAACUGUACAAAACUAUUUUCAACACAUAGAUUAGCAUAAUAUUAGAAAGAAAAAUGUUGAAAUCAAAUGGAUAUUAAUAACUUUGGUAUUAAUAUAUAAAUGAUUUUCCAUUUUCAUUAUGAUCUAUUUAGGUUGAUUUUGAUCAAUAUAAUGGAUUAGAGUGUCAAAUAGUUACAAAUUACUAAAACCAAGGGUAUUAAAUAAACUCUUCUAGAAAAAUAAGUUUACGAGAAAAAGAUAUAAAAACGAACUGGAGCAAAAUUUCAUAUUCUAUUAUUGAUAGAUAUCGAUAAAUUCCUAUCAAAUAUAUUGAUAAAAGUUUAUAAAAAUUUAUUAGUAUAUAUCAUUGAUAGAAUCUGAAAUUUUGUUAUAUUUUUAAAUAUUUUUAAACAGUUAGACUAUAAUUACAAUAAUUUUCUUUAUGAAAGUUUAUAGUUAAAUAUAUAAAUUUAUUUGUGAACAAUUUUAAAAUGAUACAAUAAACGAGAAAUUGAAGUUAAAAAAGCAAAGUAUGUAUAUAAUGGAAAUAAUUCAUGUGAAAUUAUCGUAAACGACAAAGCUACUGUAAAUUUUCAGAUUCUAUCGCUGACAAAGUCUAUCAAUAUCCUAUUAUUAAUAAAAUAUAAAAUUUAACUAUAUUUUGUAAAUACUUUCAUUCACUGUAUCAUAUUUGAAAAUGACCUUUUUAUAAAUUUAAUAAGUUUUAUUUUGAUCUCUAACCUCUCUCGAGAUGUCAUUUUCAUACAUUUGAAAACGGUAUCCAAAUUACAAAACUUUAAAUCAUAAGAUAACUCACAACUAAUAAUUUUAGGGAUAAGGAAGAAACCGAAGAUAAUUUUCAUACUCAAAACGCUAAGGGUUAAAAAAAAGUUAACUGUUCCAUUUUUGACAAUUUUUCUAAAAUGUAUGUAUAUAUAUAAAUAUUUUUAGAAAAAUGGUCAAAAAUAAAACGUAUAACAAAAUAUGUAAUAAAUUUCGUUUUUAGUGGGUUUGUUCUAUAAAAAUAGAAAAUUUAUGAAAAAAUUCUUAUACUUUAAAUAAUUUAAACUAAUAAUAAAUGAUCAAACAAAGAACAAAAUUUUUCUUGGAAACCUGAAAAAGUUUCUUCCUUUUAAAAACUCCAAAAACUUGUAACAAAAAUUAUCAAGAAAGCAAGUGCUUAAUUAACACCAAAAUAAAUGAUCUCAAAUGAGAAAGAGUUCAUCAGUUUGAUUUUAGAAAACGAAGGCAGAAAGAAGAAAUAAUAUAACCUGUAAGAAUACGAAUGUUUUGUUUGGAAUAUCCAAAGUGAUUGAUCAACAAAUCUUGCAUAUUUCGAACAUCAUUCACAGUCCCUUGUAGCCUAUGCUUCCAGUUCUUGUAAGUCACCCCACAGAGGAGAGCUCGCUUUAUUGUCCGCCGCCCGUCCGAGGAGGCCGUGGAUGAGAGGGUUCUCAUCGGAGGCUGUACUGACGGCCACAGAACCUUUUCUGGUUUCGAUUCAUCAUCUUGACUCGCGUAUCGUCUCCGUCGCAACGAUACUCCUGCACCAGAGGAGGAGGAGGAGGAAGAAGGUUUGAAGGAGUGAUUAUUGCAUUUGCAUUUGAAGCUGCCAUUGAUUUUUGUGGGGUUCUUGUUGAUCUUGCAACAACAAUAUUCACUUUUGGUAUACAUUUUUAUGCCUUUCCUUCUUCAAGACAAAGGAGUUAAAAGAGAGAAUAUAUAAAAGUCUGAUCAGGUGCAUGUUUGGGAACAAAUUCAAGAAAAAGAAUCUUAUGAUAUAUAAUUAAAUGUUUGUUUUUUUGGUUAUUAUUCUUCUAACUUUUUAGACUUUAAUUUACAUUUGUUUGUGCUAUUUUGGUUGUUGUACUUUUUAAUUAACGUUCAUGUUAAUGCAACAAAAAUAUGAUCAUUCAAUAGAAAAUGUGUUCUUUAUUAUUUUUCCUUAGAUAUGCACAAUAUUUUCCUUGACACUUUUCUUAGAAGUGCGUUUGGCGGGUAGAGUUGAGUGUUGGUAUAAUUAUUAUAUAAGAGAAGUAAUCGAGGGAGCUAAUGCAAAUAACAAAGAAAAAUGAGCCAGUUACGUUCCACAGCUACCCUUUUUAAUUAAUGGUGAACUAAAGAGUGGGUGAGUUUUCUAUAUCCAUGAUUUAAAUUUCAACUUUAUUCUAACUCAAUAAAAUUUCAUAAAUCAAUCAAUUUACGUUCUUAAUUAUAAUUUUUCUAUUUGAAAAAUUCUACACACGUUUAAGAAUCAAUGCACGGAUGAUUUUCAAAGAUAAUGGUAAGAAAAGGGUCUAAGUUGAAUGUGUUAUAGAAAUUUUGGAGUUUAAUUAAUUCAAAAUGUAAAUUUUACAAAGUAAUGGUUGAACGAAAUGUGACAAACGAUUUACAAAAUCUCACAUAAUUUAAAUUUAUAAUCCCAAUGGUUAGGGUUUUAAAUUGAUUUUUCUAAAAUCAUUUUUCUUAAUUUGAUAUCAUCCUCAAGACGUGAAAGAGUAGAAGUUCUUGUUCAGAAGGAGUUUCAUACUUCAAAAAAACCUAAAUGAUGAUUUACUAAGUUGGUUAUUUGUGCGUCGUUGUAAUUCAUAGACAAAAAUAAAUGAUCAUUAUUUAAUUUUAUUAUUAGUUGGUGAUGUUGAUAAAUGCAAAAUGUUGGGUAGAACAAGAUGUUGAUAAAACUUAUAUAAGAAUAUAGAAUGCAAGAUGUUGAUAAAAAACACGUUGCACGAAUAGUAUAAAAAGAUGUUGUGUAUAAAUUAAACUUGCACAAAAUGAUUCUACAACAUUGCAUAAAUUCAAAGCUAGAACAAUGGUGAGAAGUCUUCAUACCUCUGUACCAACAAGGUGGUCAUCGUUACGCUAAGACGCCAACUUAUCCUUUGACACGCCAAAUUAGAUAAAGGUGCGUGUAGUAGAAGUGCAUGAAUCAGCUGUGCGUCAAAUCACAGCCCUACAACGUGCAUGGUGCAGCAUGGUGGCGGUGUGUCUGCAUCAUUAAUUUGAACCAAACUAUCUUCAAACACGUCAAAUCACCUGAGAGUUGUAGAGAUAAGGGAGCUGCUUUCACAUCAAUCUGUCACAAUCUGCAACAUGAAAAAGAGACUUCUUCAUUAUUUAAACAAAACAUAUAUUAUCCUUCAACACCGUCACAUCACUGGUUCCCAAAUGGUUUCCGCAUAUUUUCCCUCUAAAAUGACCCAAGCUCUCCACCAACAAAAGGAACCAAGAACCCAAGCUCAUGAGAAGAUAAAUUUUAAGAUGAAAAAGGGAAGCUUCACGACAGAUGAGAGAUCGUCGGUAGAUCUCCUGAUCAGGAUUCAAGCUGCAUCAUUGUGUAGUUUUCUUUAAAAAACAAUUUUAGUGACCAUUUUUUGUCUAAUUUUUUAGUGUGCUUAUAAUAUAACAAUUUAUUAUUGUUAAUCAUAUAUCUUAAUUGAAUUCUAUGAUGUAUCCUUCUGUUUAAAAGUUCAUAAUAAAAAGUAUCUUUUCCCAUGUAGCCACUUGAGGUAAAAUCGUAGCACUAUGAACCUUUGGAAAAAGUAAGUGUGUGUAAAAAUAUUUAAAGGCAAAUGAGGUCUAGUAUGCAAAUAUAUAUUAUACAUAGAUUUUCAUUAAUUGAUAGUGUAGAGGUACAUAUAACAUUAGUCUUUAUAAUUAGAGAUAAUUAAAGAUACACUAAGCUAUAGAGGAUGCUGAGGUGCCACCUAAUUGAUGUUAUGGUGUACCUACUAAUCCAAAAUAAUCUUUUUCAAAAGAUAGCUAUAGAAAAAAUGGUGGUAAACAUAUUGAAUUAGCAUCUAGUUUGAUGUUCUAGAUUACGUAGGGAGACCGAGUAUAAUAAGUCUUUUCACUUUAAAGAUUACAUUGAAUUGAUAUUUAUAGAACAUUUUGAUUAAUCUAACAGAUAAUAGUAUGAGAAGUUUAUAUAUAUUAAAGUUUGUACGUUUGUUAGUCAGUAUUUAUAACUAUUUUUUUCUAUUGUUUUUUCACAUCUUACCCUUUUUUUAAUUUAUUGAAGUUUACUAUUACUAUUUUCUUAAGAUGCAGCAUCAACAACUCAGACUAAUAUAUUUUAAAUCAUCAUUUUUGUACAUCAGUUGAUACCAUAUCCACGUAGAUUCAACCUUGGAAUACUCCAAGUAUAUACUACUUCCUAUUACAUUGAUUUAUACUUGAUCACUUUGACUUUGUGUAAUUUUAGCAUAAACAAUAAUUAUUAACUCUUUAGUCUUUUGCUAAUUUUGGUGUUAUAUAUGUCAUUACUUUAUACGCUAUUAAUAGAUAAUCAUAUGUUUAUUGUUAUUAUUGGAAUUUUAGAUUUGAUUUCUCAGAUUAACUGGUUUUUGUGUUCAUAGGUGAACAAGUUCAUCUUUUGAUAAUUAAUAAUCCAUGAAGUUUUUUUCACUCUACUUUCUUAUUUCAAAGAUAAUUAUAAUUGGUGAGAGCUUUAUUAUUUUUUAUACAUUAUAAAUAUAGUAAAAUCUAAUCUGAUCUAUUAAUGAUAGAUUUGGAUGAAAUUUUCUAUCUUCCCAAUUUUUGUUUAAAGAUGUUAUUAUAUAUUUAAUAAUUUUAAAUUUAAUUGCUAUAUUUAUAAUUAUCUUUUAUUUUAAGCAUGCUGAAUUGACUUUUUCAUUUUAUGAUAAUGUCUAUUUGAAAUCUUUUAUAAACACAGUAACUUUAAUUUGAAUGGUUCACAUUAUACUUAAAGUAUGUCUUUAAAGUUAUGUCCUUUCUGUUGCUAGAAUAAUGAGAAAACCAUACCUAAAUUUCCAAACUAUUUUAUUCUUUUUACUACCUAUUAUAAUUUCUCAAUAAAUUAAAUGAAGUGAUUGUGAAUUAAUUUAGCUUAUCUUCAAAGAAGUAAUCCCAAGUCUUGAAGUAGAAAAGGGUAUGGUGGUGAAGUGGGAAUCAAGUGUUUUAUAACACCAAAUCUACGAUAAUAUUUGCAUUUCAAACAUAUCAAGCAACGAAUCCACAUCCUAUUCUCUUCUUUAAUACUUUAUAGCAUUUUUAGAAUAAAGAACAAUCCCAUCUCCUUUUUCCCUCUCUCUUUUCAUCAAUCUCACAACAAAACCCUCUUCUUUUAAAAAAGUGAUACAAUAACACCCGAACAUUUUCAUUAGUUAAACACAUUCUUAGCACCUUCCUCAUUUUCAAAAUAUUUUAAAAGAUAUUUCAUUAAGCACGAUCAAAUUCUUUUAUUCUCUACAAAGAGUGUCCUAUAUAUUAGAUCACUUUUCGUUAAUGUUUUACAUUUAGGGUUUACCGUUACUUAUUCUUUUUUCUCAUUCUUCUAUUUUUUUCUAAAAAAAUCUAGAAAUAAUAACAUGUUUGAUUAAAUUUUUUGUUUAUUAUUUCUUAAAAAACUAAAAACUUUAUUUGAUAACAUUCUGCAGUUUGAUAUAUAAUAUAAAAAAUGUAUAACAUGCAUUAACACGAUAACCUAUCAUAUCAAGUUUAAUCUAAUUAAAACUAAUGGAUAACUAUUUAAAUGUGGAAUGGUUAACAUAUCCUUUCAAAGAUGGUGUCUAUUUUAGGUUCAUCAAUCUUGAUGAUAUAUUUUUGUUGGACUCAAAUCUAUUUUGGCAUACAAAAAUAAACGAAUUUGUAAAAUUUCAACGUCAUUUUUUAUCGGAGGAUAUUUAUAGAACUAGCCAUUGGAGUGGAUGACAGAUUACCAAUUAAUCUUAAUGUUAGACACCAAUGGGAAAGAAUAUAAUAGAGUAUUGUAAAGUUCUUUUGAUCUUACAGCCAUUUUUUUAUAAAAUUAGGGACCUUAUAGAACUUGAAUGUCGUAAGUAGUUGAUUAAUUAAUUUGGUUUUGUACCAACUGCUUGGAAUAUGUGUGUAACGUUAGCUGAUUAAUUAGAUAUUAAUAAGACAUUAAACUGAUUGGAAUAUAUGUGUGUGUAACAGUUAACUAAUAAAACUAAGUAUUAAUAAGACAUUUGAAUAGAAUAAUAUCUUUACAAAUUUGAAUCUAAUUAAUUAAGUAUUAAUAAGAUAUUUGAAUAGAACAAUGCCUUUACAAGUUUGAAUGGAAGGUAUAUAUAGAAUUAUUGUCGUGACAAAUUAUGCCAUUUAGAUUAAAAUAUGGCUUUUAAUGUUUACGAGCAAAAAUCAAAUGGGGGACUUAAAGGUCCAUUAAAUAUAUAUAAAGAAUAUAUUAGACAUAAACUUGAAAAUUGAAUAAAAAAAUUUAUAAUUGGGGUUCUUUAAAAAAUAUAAGGACAAAAUAUUUAUAUAUAACAAUUUUGAAAACCGAAAAAUCCUACGUGCUCACGGUGAAAAAUGCAAAAAAAAAAAAAAAAGUUGAUAAAAACAUUUAGAAAAAAUAGCUUAUGACACUUUUUUUUUUUUUUUUUUUUUUUUUUUUGCAUAUUGCGAAUAUGACAAAAUUAAUGAUAUUAGACGACUAUCAAACAACUAUUAUACGGUUAUCAAGUUUUUGCAAUGACCUCUACAAAAAAUGCUCCCAUCCUAAUAUAUUUGGGAGAGGAUAUCAACAUCGUUUAGAUUUGACUACAGAUCGUUUAGAUUUUUCUAUCCAAGUCUAAACCAUUUUUUUUCUCAAAAUUUUUGUGUUAAUUAUUUAGAUUUGAUCGUUUAAAUUUGGGUAGACAAAUCUAAACGAUUUUUUUAUAGAGAUUUAUUGAAAUGUUUUAUAUUUGAUAUACAAUUUUGAACAAAUAGUACCAAUAACAGUUUGAAAAAAAUAAAAGAAAAAUGGCAGACGAAGAGAAAAAAGACGAUAGUCAACUUCAUACUUUUUUUUAGUUUGUUACACAUCUUGCAAUUAUUUUGUUGUUUUGUAAUAUUUUCAAAAAUUCGAGUUGUAAUUGAACUCUAUUCUUUUUAUUUAUGUACAUUUUCUUCUAUCCAAAAGUUAUUUCACUAAAUUUGAUUUGGAGUUUUUACUUUUCUAAUAUUGUAAAGUUAUAUACUUUAUAUUGAGUAUUAUAUUUCAACUAAUAUAUCAUUUUUAGAUUUAGUAUACUGAUUGAUCAGCUGGUAUACGAAAUAUAAAAAUUAUAUUAGUUCGUCGGGUUGAUAACCAUCCAGUGAAUUUGGUGAAAAACUAUCGAAAUAUUAUAUUGUUACCCUUGAAAUUGUAUUUUAAACAAUUAUUAUAUACACAUAUUUAAACAUAUACUUUUCUCAAGAAGCAUUGAUGUCUUGAUGCAUUUGCCAUGAAUAAGAUUUUCUAGUUAAAAUAAAUCAUUGUCUAAGAUAACUUAAUUGAAACUAAAAUAAGAACGUAUUUGAAUUGACUUUUUAAGUGUUUAAAUGAGUUAAAUAUUUAUGAUGAAAAAAAUGUUUACAAACAAUUAGAAAGUCAAUCGACGUUAUACCUUUAAUUGAUUCAUAUAUCUAAAAAUCGUUCCAUAAAAAAAAUAUCUAAAGGUUUUAAGACUUUCACAACAAUAAGCUAAAUGACACAAAAGUCUCGGGAUGGCUCUAUCGCCACGUCAAAGUUUAAGCCUAAUAUAUUCUUGCACUUUACCCACGAAUUGGUCUAGCUAUGCAAUCACAUGUAACUAAACGUUCCUAACUAGUGGGAUCUAUUUAUAAGAGGUAGAUGUAAAGGUAACAAUAACAAUAAUUUUCAUAAUUUUCAGUAUAUUUGAUCCAUGAAUGAAAUUACAUUACACUUGCAACCAUUUUUAUUAGGUGGAAAUUAAAACGUGGCCGGAGUGUUUAGCUGGUUUUCCCUUUAGUUCCUAAUUUAGUAUGUCUUUUUACAAUCUAAGGCAAGAACAUCUAGUGACCACUUGACCAACUAAUCACGUUUAGCUAAACACUUCUGGCAUCCUGACUAGCUAAACAUGGCCGAAGUGUUUACCUGGUCUUUCUUUUAAUCUAAUUUAAACGAGAGUAACAUAUGGAGAUUAUUGCUUUUAAUAUGCUAUUAUUGCCUUUAACUCUAAAAAUAUAUAAAACUCAAGCGAUUUAGAGUAACAUUAAGAGCCCAAGUUUUAACCAAAUAACCAAGCUCCUCUUAAAAUGUGACUCUUUCCCUGCUUGGACUUAAGCUCUUCCUAAGGAUGUGAAUAUUAGUGAUAUUGCAAUUAGCUUUCGUUAGGUAUGCGAGACAGCUUCCUCUCAUUUAAAGAUAUACCUUUCCUUUUCUAUUGUGGACUGCCUUCACGUGAGAACCUAAACUUCUCCCCAAGUCUUGAAAAUUCUUUUCUUGAAGAGUAAUGCCUUAGGAUAACUCUAAGGGAGAGAUCCUUCUCAAUCAACUUUGUCUUUAAGUUCCCCUUGACACAGAACAAUACUUCUCAAAAUUGCAGAAAACACCGUCACACCAAAGAAUAAAUACUUCCUUCUUGAAUUAAGCACUAUGCAGAAAGUGCUUAUUGUUACACUCGAUUAAAAACCUUCACAGACCACAAUGUGCAGCAACCCUGGUGAAAGAAGCAUCUGAGGUUUAAAAAGAUAGAAAAUAUCCCAUCAUGAAAAAGGAAAGCACCGAAAAGUAAAACAUGCAUACUAGAGAAAAUAAUUUGCAAAACAAUGUAGAUAAGAAAACAAAAUAUUCUACAGAUUUGGCAUCUUGACACGCAGCCUCUGAGACAAGAUCAUCGUCCUACAGGAACAAAAGCGAAGACAACUCAUAGACUGCCCAAAAGCGAUUUCAGAAGUGUUAAAUAAAUAUAUAUAGGCAAUGCACAGAUCUGUCAGUGAUCUCUUGGAACUUUUGUGAUAGCCUUUUAUAUCAUAUAUCUUCAAAUCUAUCAAUUUAGAACCAGUCACUGUCAAAAGCAGGUUGCCAUAUCUGUACAUUCUUGACCACGAAGGGUUCAUCAACUCUCUAACUUCAACACAAGAUUUAUCUUGGGUCUUUUAAUUACUUCCGAAAGUAAAAGAAUUCAAUCAUGUGAAAAAAAUAGGAUAUACCAUUUCCAUUGAUAUUCUUCUUUGACACCACAAUAUUAUGUAUAUAAUUAAAACACUUGCACGAAUAUUCAAAACAAAAAGAAAAGAUCCUAGAAGUUAAAUGAUAGUUGACUAAUGUUCUUGAACUGUUACCCAAUUUGUUAUACACAUGGAAGGUCGUCGUUGUAAAGUGAAUAUAAUUACAUGUAAAGAAUUGCCAUUGGUGAAGAGGAAAAUUGUGAUUGAAAAAGAAUAUUCUGUCAAAGGCCCAAUCUUUGGUGUUGUCAAUGGAGUCAGCAUCGGUUGUUGUAUCUAACCCUUUAGAUAAUUACUUUCCAAAAUUUUAAAAGUCUUAUUAAAAACCGUUUAGACCCGACCAUGAAGGAGUACAAAACAAUUGUUUGAUUGAUCAGUCGAUCAACUUAAUCUUUUACAAUUAUUGUCGGUUGGAUUUUUUUCUCAAACCAAUACCGUCCAAACCCUUCUUCAUCUUCGACCCACUGCCUUUAGUUUGAUCAAUUUUUAUCCGUCAACUUGAUUUUUCGAUCAUGCUCAUCCAUUUCUUAAUCUUUUGUCUUCAAAACUCACUUUCUCAAAGUUCAGCUUCCGCGGUACUAAUUUAUGGGAUGAAAGGCUUUGUACUUUCCAAAAGGCCCAAAACAAAAAACAAUAGCCUUAAUUAGGAACAUUUUGUUCCAUGCAAAUUAACAAGAUAGAGCCAACAUGAGUUCGGUUCAAUUGACAACUGUAUAUACUCGAGAAUAAGAGAGUCUUAGAUUCAAAUUCCUUCACUCUGUAUUUUGUAUUACGAUAUCUCUAAAAAUACAGAUACUUAAAAUUAUACAACAUAAUUUAUGUAACGUAAUUAUAUAAUAUCAUGAACCCCUUCCUUGUCAGUUUAGCUGAGACCAAAGGAUAUUUUAUUUGAUUUUAUUGAAGACUAUGCAAAGCUUGAGAUAUCUUCAAAGAUAUUUUCUUGUAAUUUAUAAUUAAGUCACCCUCAAGGCUAUGGCUAUUUUAGUUUAAUUCCAAUAUUAUAUUUAUCUAUCUUUGCUUCUGUACUGAUCUAAUCUAACUGUGGCCACACAGUGUGUGCACAAUUAUUAUAUUUGAUAGUUUUCUACACACAUUAUUCAACAAUAAUUAACACAAAAACACACAAGAAAACAUCAAAAUUUGAAUCAUCUUAUAUCAAUUAAUUAAUUAUUAAUUAACAUAAGUUUGAAAGAAUACAUUGGACGAAAAAUGUUUAAAAGAUGGUACGGAAUGAACAAUGAAACAAUAUAAAGAAUGUAAAAAAUUAACACAUAUAUGAUUUACUAAUAGUGUAUUAGUUGCUACGUCCACAAACAGAGAGAACUAAUAUAUUACAAGUGAGAAUGUUCUAGAAUAAAAACGAUGCUACUGAAUUAUGAAGUUUAUAUACUGCACUCCUUUAAAUCUAAGAAAAAAGAAAGUAAAUAACUACAUAUGUUCAAUUAAGAAAACUAAAAAAAAAGUUAGAUUGUCUCUAUAGAGACCUUCGUACUAGAUUGUUCGUAUAACUAUCUACAGAAAAUGAAUGCAUUCCAACCUAUCAAUUUGAGUGUUGUAUAUACAUAUAAAUUAUUUAUAUGGCAAUAAAGUAUUAAGAAAAGUCAAUAGAAAAAUACAAAGCCAGCUUUUCAUAUGAUGUUCAUAUCCGUUCUAACGUCCAAUAAAAUAGGACAAAAUAAUUUAAUCAAUCGUUCCCUACUGCCGACGUUUGACAACGAAGCUGUUCGUCUAUGGUGGUAGGGCUCAGAUUUUUUUUUUUUCUUUCACUAAAUUUACUUUAAAGUGUCAAGUCAAACAAAAACCAUGAGUAUAAAUUUGAUUGAGAAAAUUAAAUUCACCAAUUUUUAUGUUUAUUAAAAGGAAAAUUACAAAAAUAUCAUACAUGUGUUCUAAUGAUAAAAGUUGAGUCAUCAUAUUCAUAUAAUUAACUGUUAUGCAAUGAAGGAAGACGAAAAAAAAUAUUGAGAUAGUUGCAAAUUUAGCAAUUAAAUUUAAAAUAAUUAAGUAUAUAACAACAUUUUAAAAAAAAUUACAAAUAUAACAAAAUUUGUCAAAAUCUAUCAUCGAUAAACUAUGUUAUAAAUAUUGAUCUAUCACCGAUAGAUUAUACGACUUUAUCAGCGACAGUUUUGUUAUAUUUGCAAUUUUUUUAAAAUAUUACUAUAUCCUUAAUUAUUAUUUCUAAAAUGGCCAUCAAUUACAAUUAUCCAAAAAUAUUUGAGAUAUUUACAAAAAAAAUUAUAAUAAUAAAAUUCAUGCCACUACAUUUUUUAAAUUACAAAAGUAACAAAUUUAAAAGCAAACAGUCAUCUCAUAGGCUUUUAAUAGUUAUCUGAUAACCAUACAUCUAAUUACAUAUCAUAUUUGUAAUACGAAAAAAAAGAUGUACGAUAGACUUUUUUUUUUUUUUUGUCAUUUAAUGCAAGUUUUCAAAAAAAAAAAGUUUCUUGAGAGAAUAAAUAUAAAGCCUCCAAAAAUAUACAUGAUAAUAUAAUCAAAGAAAAAAAAUAACAUUGUUUGAUGUUCAAAACUUUAUAGAAAUUGGACUCCCGACUGAUAACAUACAUUUAGGGUUUAGAGCGUAUAAGUUUAUUAAAUUGAGCAUUAAUUUAUAUUUAUUGUCUCUCUUUUCUUUGAAGAGAACUUUGUAUAUUUAUUAAUAUCUUGAAUGUGCUAUUUUAUGGCAUCUUGUUUAACUUAAAAGUCAAAUUUGUUGCUCUCACAUGCUACGCAGUUUAUUUUGUAAGGAUUUAAUAAUUCGAGGUCGUUUUGGAGUGUUUAGAAUAAUCAGCAUUAAAUUUGAAUUACUUAAUUGAGCAAGGGAGUAAUGGAAAAUGAAGUGAAACUCAAGCGAGAAGGUGAGGGGUGGUUGUGACUUAUGAGAUGAGAUGAGCCGUGAGGGGAGAGGGGAAAGUGUGGGAACGGUGGUGGCUGGCAGUGUGGGUCUAUGAAGGCGACGGGAGGUUGGACUGUUGAGGGAUGCCGAUGAAAGGGAGAGAGAGAGAAGCGAUGGUGGACGUGAUGUGAAGAAAGCGAGGAGGGAGAAAGGGAUGGAGCCAGAGCAGUUGGGGUUGAGUGAAGUGGGGGAAAGAAAUUAUCAUUAUAUUUUUUGUUUUGGCACACAUGACAAGAUAAAUAAAUACACGACUUCAAUUUCUUUACGGUUUUUAGAUUUGAAAUUGAUUCGAUCUACGUAAAUUUGAUAACAGAUCGAAUCAGACCGUGUAUUAAAUUUGGUUUGGAUUCGAUUUGUAAAACGGUUCAGUUUUCACAGUUUUGAUGAACAUCCUUAAUAUAUUAAUAAUCACUAUAUUGUAAUGCGAUUCUAUUGUAUUUUGUAUAAAUUCACUUAUUCGAUCCAUAGUGAUCAUUUAUCUGAUAAAUAAUUUCAUACAAGUUUUUUUAACAUUCAAAUAUUGUAGAAUCAGACGAAAGUUAUUUGAUAUGUGUAUAAACUGAUCAAAACACUCUUGGAUAUCAAAGAAAAAAAAAUCAAUCGUUUGAUUUUUAGGUCUAUAGAUUUUGGUGUACAUUUGGGCAAAUGACCACUGGUUUAUUUUUAUUUUUAGCCAUUUAAAUGGAAUAAAUUAAAUUUAAGUAGAAUUUUCAUCAUUGAAUUUUAGUCUCUCUUUAAACUUGAAUCCUUUCUAACACACCAAAAACUAACUUAUUUUCAAUUAAUUUGAUACAACUUUAAGAUUUAACUAAGAUUCGUUUGGAUUGACUUAAGAAAAAAUGUUUUUAAAAAACUAAUUUUUGUUUAAACUUUUUUUCUAAAAAUUGUUUAGGGUUUAGGGUUGAAAAUGUAAUUUAAACACGCCACAAGUCUCUUUGUUAUCAAGUUUAUUAUUAAGUUAUUUUAUUAUCCCACACAGAGAAAUGAACAAUAAUAGUCACGUUAGAUCUAAUAUAACGUCAAAAAGUUAAUUAAUUUGUAACAAUCCAAAAACAAUGAUAAAAAACUAUGAGCUCUUGGCUUCCUUUAAUUGAAAACAAAAGUAAAAUAAAUCUACCACACAAUUGGAGAGUUCAUAAAAUGUUUGAUUUUUUUCCCCCAAUUUUGUACACAAGAGAACAAUAAGAGGCCAUUUGGUAGAGAUUGAGGAAAUUGGAAGGAUGCAUCAUCAUCAUCAUGCAUGUUGUGUUUUGUUUUAUGUUAUGACUUUCCUAUUCUUAUUAAUUAUGUUAUAUAUGUUUAGUUUAAUGCUAUUAUUUUUGUUUUUCUUAUCCCCAUUUUGUAAUAAACAAUUUGCAAUUAUUUUAUAUGUAAAUGUUUCAAGUCCUUUAAUUUUUUAAUAAAUAUUCACUAUUUUAUAUUAUUUUCUAACUAUUUAUUUUUUAAAAUUUUAUAAGGUAUAUAAAUGUUGUCUUACAUCAAUGAUUAAACAUAGUAAAUUAUAGUCUAAUUCAACUCUAUAAUCAAAAUUUCAUUAAACUAGUUAUAACAAAUUUCAUCCGUUUCUAUUCUAUAAACUUCUUUUCAAAAUUUCCGCCUAAUUUUAGCUAGUUAAUAAAUUAGAUCAAUAAAUCACUAGUUUCGUAUUCUGAUUCACUACAUUAAAAUUGAAGGUAUUAAUUCUAGAAUUUGAAUUGAUUUAUUCUGAAGGGAUGAGAGAUGAUACAAUAAUGAUCAUUAUUAUUAUUGUUUUUAUCUGGCAAUUGAUAAAUUUAUUGGUCCAAUCUUUAAUAUACACAACGAUGAGUAGGCAGCUGUAAUACUCAUGUUGGUUUUUUUGUCCUUUUCAAGAUUCAUAUAUUAAUGAAUAAUGAGAUACAUAUCUGCAUCAUCAAUCAAUGAGCCAAAACAAAUAUAUAUAUAUAUAUAUAUAUAUUUAUAAGCUCAAAUUAAUUACUUCUUUCUUUUGCAGCCUAUAAGAAUAUUAGAAUCCUUACAUUUUUAUUUCUCCAAAAACUGAGCAACUUACCAUUUCAAAGAAGAUCAAGAAAAUUCAAAGAUGGGAUCUGUCUCACAAACUGAAAAACCACAUGCUGUAUGUAUCCCAUAUCCAGCCCAAGGCCAUAUCACCCCUAUGCUAAUGCUUGCUAAGCUUCUCCAUCACAAAGGUUUCUACAUAACUUUCGUCAACACCGACUACAAUCAUCGUCGUCUUCUCAAAUCGAGAGGCCCCAACUCGCUCGAUGGCUUGCAAGAUUUUACAUUCCGAACCAUUCCCGACGGCCUUCCUUACUCGGACGCCAACUGUACUCAAGAUAUUCCAGCACUCUGUGAAUCCACCUCCAAGAAUUGCUUAGCCCCGUUUUGUGAUUUUAUUUCACAACUUAACUCAAUGGCAGCUUCUCCUUCUAGUAAUAUGCCACCAGUUAGCUGUAUUGUUAGUGAUGCUGUUAUGUCUUUCUCUAUGUUGGCUGCCAAUGAGUUUAAAAUCCCUUAUGCUUUUCUUUGGACUGCUAGUGCUUGUGGCUACCUUGGUUACUUCCAAUAUGAGCAUCUCAUUAAACAAGGCUUGAUUCCUCUUAAAGGUAUGGUUUCAUUUGAAUCUGUUUUCUUUUCUUUCUUUUUGUUUCUGUCAAUCUUUGUUAAACAUGCAUUUUUGUGUGCUAGAAUUUUACUUUAAAAAUUAUUUUUAAUUCUGACAUUUUAAAAAAUAUAACAAACCACAAAAAUAUUUUCAUGGUAUAAAACAAUUUUGAAAACGGAAAAAGCUCACUGACCCACAAUAAAAAAUAUAAAGAAUGCCCUAAUCAACAGUACACGAUUAAUCUACUACACGGACGUGCCUAAUUUUUCUACUAAACGAUCAAGAUACAUGUUCGUAUAGUUAUUUUUAACGAGUAGAAAAAUGCUUCUUGUACUUAUAGAAUAUAUCAAUGAAGUGGAAAUGAUGAGGAUGAUAAGAGGGUGUUCAUCUAAUGGAAAUGUGCUGGUGCACCUAUUGACCUAUAAUAUUUAAAAAGAAAAACGAUGAGAAAAAUAUUUCAAAUCUAAACGACAGUGUUAAAACACAAUGAACGAUCGUGUUGACUAUUGAUAAGUGAUCGUUUAGGUCAUAUUCACACGAUUGUGUAAUUUUUUUUAAAAGAUAAGGAAAUGACUUCAAAUCUAAACAACGGUGUUGACUAGAUAAAUGAUCUUAAUAUUAUGAAAAAAGAGUUGGAAGAAAGAAAGAAAGGGAAGAUGAAGAAAGAUAGAAAAAGAAGUUAAACGUUUAACAAAAUUUUUUGGAAGAUGAGCCAAAAUUUUUUGGAAGAGAAAAUGGAUAAAGUACAAAAUAGAAAAGAAAAAGAACUGAUGAAUCGUUCCCAAUAUAUCAAGGGCAAAACUAGAAUUUAUGGAAAAAAUUUACGAGCUUCAUAGGACAUUUUGUUUUUGUUACACGGAUGAUUGUAAAUAUUUUGGUGUUUUCUUACCUUUAUGAAAAAUUAACCUUUUUAAUCUUAGAGGGACACUUUUAAAUAUAUAAAAUAGUUAAUCAACUAAAAUAUUUACAAAAUAUAAUAAAAAAUUUAGAUUUUAUUUUGUCAAUGAUAUAUUGUUUACGGAUAUUGAUUUAUCAUUAACAGACAUGAAUAAGUUUUUAUUAGUUUCUAUUUUUUUUUAUACACUAAAUCUCAGAACUUUAAAAACGUUUCUAAUAAUUAAAUCUUCUAUUUUUAAUGUUUGUAUGUUUAACUCUUUGAAAUUUUAAUGUUUCAUUUCUAUUAAGUCUUUCAUCCAUUCAACAUUUUAAAAAUUUUAUGAACCUAUUAGACUAAAAAUUACAUGUUCAAUACUAAAAAUUACAUGUUCAAUUAUGUUCGUUGGACCCUAAAUAAACUUUUAUUUCUCUCUCUCUCUUUUUUUUUUUUUUUAAUUAUAGAAGAUGUCAAAUACCUAAGGAUGACAUAUAUAUUGACAGAUUUAUUAGGAUGAGAAGUUGAAUAUUUUGAAACAAAUCAUAUACUUAAUUGUCUUUUCAAGAGAAAGUUUUCUUGGGUAGAAAAACAUGCCAAACAAUUUAGUGUGAUAGACUUUUUAACCUCCAAAGAUAGACUUCUCUUAGUCUCUAUCAUUGAUAGACACUUAUACACUUCUAUAAACUUUUAUCGAUGAUAAUUAGCGUCUAUCAGUUUCUAGUACUUGUAGAUGACAUUGAUAUAUAAAUUUCUAUAUGUGUUCAUUACUUAUACCGUUGAUAGAUAUGCUAAUUAAUAGGCUUCCAACAACGUUCAUUUAAAUGAUAAAAAAAUUAAAAAAUUAUUUGCAAUAACUUGUAAAUAGUUUAAUCUAUCAACAAAUUAAGAAAAAAAAAGAACUUGGACACAUCCAAUAGAAUACACAACCACGUGGACCAAGCCAUCAUUUUAACCAAAUUUUUUAUUUUGGAGUUUGUGUAUUUAAGUUUUGAUCUCUUUUUUACUGGUCAACAGAUAUGAAUCAGGUAACGGAUGGAUAUUUAGAAACUACAGUCGGAUGGACUCAAGGAAUGAAAAAUAUACGUUUGAGAGACCUUCCUACUUUUCUUAGAACAACAAGUCUAGAUGAUAUUAUGAUCAAUUUUAUCAUUCAAGAAAUGAAAAGAUCUCGAGAAGCAUCUACAAUUAUAUUAAACACAUUUGAUGCAAUCGAAGGAGAUGUCAAAGAUUCUCUUUCUUCUAUCCUUCAGUCUAUUUACACUAUUGGUCCACUUCACAUGCUUGGCAACCAAAUAGAUGAUGAAAAACUAACAGCAAUUGGCUCAAACCUAUGGGCUGAGGAAUCAGAAUGCAUUGAGUGGCUUAACUCUAAGCAGCCCAACUCAGUUGUUUAUGUUAAUUUUGGUAGCAUUACAGUGAUGACACCACAACAAAUGGUUGAGUUUGCAUGGGGAUUAGCUGAUAGUGGGAAGUCAUUUUUGUGGAUUACAAGGCCUGAUUUAAUUGUGGGAGAUUCAGCCAUUAUGCCUCAAGAAUUUGUUACACAAACUAAAGAUAGAAGCUUGAUAGCAAGUUGGUGUAGUCAAGAACAAGUGUUGAACCAUCCAUCAAUAGGAGGAUUUCUAACACAUAGUGGAUGGAAUUCAACUCUUGAGAGUAUAUGUGCUGGUGUUCCAAUGAUUUCAUGGCCUUUCUUUGCUGAACAACAAACAAAUUGUCGUUAUUGUUGCACUGAGUGGGGGAUUGGAAUGGAGAUUGACAACAAUGUAAAAAGAAAUGAAGUGGAGGAGUUAGUGAGAGAGUUGAUGGAUGGAGAAAAAGGUAAGAAAAUGAAAGAGAAUGUAAUGUAUUUGAGGAGUAAAGCUGAAGAAGCAUAUAAACCAGGUGGUUCUGCUUACAAGCAAUUGGAUAAGCUGAUCAAUGAAGUACUUUUGUCAAACAUAAAGAAGGUUUAAGCUUUGUAUCCAAAGUUCUCUGCUGUUACACCUGGUUGAUCUGCUUUUCUUCUUUAGGAACCUAUGUAUUAUUAUAUAUUGAAUAUUAUUGCAUGGUUUUUCUUCAAUAAAUUCUCCUAUUUGAUUUUUCUGAAGACUAGCUCAUUAAUUAAGUAGGAAAAUGUAUAUAAAGAUUGUGGUAUAUGUUAGAUUGGAUCUGUUUCAGAUAAGCAUGUUGUAAAACUCUCUAAUCCUAACGACGUCCGUGAUAUGUAGUUUGAAUUAUUCUUUUUAAAAAUAAAUUGCUCUGUUUUCUUUUGUUCACCGAUAUAACUAACACAUGGUUAGUUAAGCAAGCAAACAAUCUUUAUAUAUUGAUUCUACAUCGUAUACAUUUUUCUUCUUUUAUCUUAAUUAAUGGUGAAUUUGUAACCGUGUCUUUCCAUUUUAUCUAUAUACGUGUGCAAGACAUCUCUUGACAUCCUCUUAUUAUUGUUGGUAUGAAUUUGAAAAUUUGUAUGUCGUGGACACAUAAAUUCAUAUAGUAGUAAAAUGUCCUCAUUAAAAAAAAAACUAUUAACAACUUAUCCUAAAAUAAAUUUGAAAUUUUUUAUCCAAACACACCAUUUAACCACUAUAAACCAUUACUAUUAUUAGGAAAACUAUGAAAAACAAUAAAUUUGACAAAAUAUUUACAAGCUAUAACACAAUUUCAUAUCUGUCAAUACCAAACAGUGAUAUCCUUCUAUCUAUGGCAUUGAAGCUAUUACUAAUUAUUUUUUAUAGAAUCCAUAAAUUUUAUUAUAUAUUAUAAAUAUUUUAAUUUAUUUUGCUACUUUAAAAACUAAUUUGAAUAGUUUUAUGUCGCAAUUGAUCGUUUGUCCAUCCAUUUAUUAUGACAACCACAAGUAACAUCUGUAGUGGUCACCAUGGUUUUUUUGUUUUUUUCCCAAGAUUCAUAUAUUAAUAAAUGAUUGAGAUACAUACAUUAAUCAACCAACGAUCCAAAAGCAAAAAGAUAUUUAUAAGUUCAAAUUAUCUUCUUGCUUCUGCAGCUUGUAAGAAUAUUAGAAUUCUUACAUUUUUGUUUCUCAGAAAACUGAGCAAUUCCCCAUUUCAAGAAGAUCAAGAAAUUCAAUGAUGGAAUCUGUCUCACAGACUGAAAAACCACAUGCUGUAUGUAUCCCAUAUCCAGUCCAAGGCCAUAUCACCCCUAUGCUAAUGCUUGCUAAGCUUCUCCAUCACAGAGGUUUCUACAUAACUUUUGUCAAUACCGACUACAAUCAUCGUCGUCUUCUCCAAUCGAGAGGCCCCAACUCGCUCGAUGGCUUGCAAGAUUUUAAGUUCCGAACCAUUCCCGACGGCCUUCCUUACUCGGACGCCAACUGUACUCAAGAUAUUCCAGCACUCUGUGAAUCCACCUCCAAGAAUUGCUUAGCCCCUUUUUGUGAUCUUAUUUCACAACUUAACUCAAUGGCAGCUUCUCCUUCUAGUAAUAUGCCACCAGUUAGCUGCAUUGUUAGUGAUGCUAUUAUGUCUUUCUCUAUGUUGGCUGCCAAUGAGUUUAAAAUCCCUUAUGCUUUUCUUUGGACUGCUAGUGCUUGUGGCUAUCUUGGUUACUUCCAAUAUGAGCAUCUCAUUAACCAGGGCUUGAUUCCUCUUAAAGGUAUGGUUUCAUUUUAAUGUGUUUUCUUUUCUUUUUUGUCAAUCUUUGUUCGAAAUGGAUUUUUGUGUGGUAGAAUUUUAUUUUAAAAAUUAUGUUUAACUUUUUUAUGAACAUUUUCAGCAUAAUCAACUAAAAUAUUUAUAGAAUAUAUCAAAAUUUUACAUGUUAGAUUUAAAGAUAGAGAUUUAUUUUAGUAUAUUGAUAGACAUAAAUAGACUUAUAUUAGUAUGAAUUGAUAUACUAAAUUUUUUCAAUUUUAUUUCUAAUAAAUUUAUAAAUUAAAAAAGUUUCUAAUAAUUAUAUCCUUAAUGUUUUUUAAUUUUUAUUUUCAUCUAACUCUUGUUAUCUUUUUAUCAAGUCUUUCAUCCAUUUCAACGUUUUAAAGAUAGUAGGAACCUAUUAGACUUAAAAGUUACAAGUUUAAUUAUGUUCAUUAGACCCAAAAUAAAUUUUCAUUCCUAUUUUUUAAAAAAAAAUUAUAGAACAUGUCAAAAACCUAAGAACUACUUAUAUAUUUUUUGAGAGGAUAUGAAUUUGAAAAUUUAGAAACAAAUGAGAUGCUUAUCUUUUCAAGAGAAAUUUUAAUAGUUAGAUAAGAUGCCAAACAAUUGAGAGUGAUAGACUUUUAUCACCUCUAAAGUCUUAGUUCUGUCAGUUAGUGUUAGUGAUAGGUUUCUCAUUAUCCAUUUCUAUUAUUGAUAGACAUCGAUAAACUUCUAUUAGUUUUUAAUAUUGAUAUAUGACAUCGAUAGAUUUCUACAUGUGUUUAACCUGUAUUUUCUAAAUUUCUUAUCAACAUAUAUUUGAAAGAUAAGAAAUUUAGAGUUUUUUGCGAAUUUUUUUUUAAAUAAUGUAAAAUUUGAAACAUAUAUCAAAAAUAGGGUGGAUGCAAAACUAUUUUUAAAAAUAGGUGAUUUGGGGUGAAGUCUCGUACACGACUUUCAUGCAGUGGACCUCACAUAUUCUAUUUUUUUUCUUAUUUUUAUAUUUAUACUACACUGGGCCCACAUUUUUUUUAUUUUCUCAUUAUUUAUAUACGUGGGACCCACACACUUCACUUUUUCUCAUUAUUUAUAUAUACAUACUCACAUAUAAUAUAAUAUAUAUAUUAAACAUUCAAAUUCUAAAGAUAUCUUUCUUUAUUAAAUUAAUUAAUUUUUUAUUUUUUCUUUAUAUAUAUUUAAAUAUCACAAUCUUCAAUCUUCGUUUUUUCUUAUUAAAUUCAUUUUUCUACUUUAAUUUAAAUUUUUCUUAAUCAAAAUUACACAUAUCUUCUUUUCCAAAUUUUAAUUUUUUUAAACAAACUCAUAUAUUAACAAAUAUGUUAUUAAACAAAUAAAAAUAGAAAUAAUAGUAAUAAUUAUAUAUAUAUAUAUAUAUAUUUAAUAUCUCAAUCUUCAAUUUUUCUUAUUAAUUCAUCUUUUCUAAUUUAAUUUAAUUAUUUCUUAACCAAAAUUAUAUAUAUCUUUUUCUAAUUUUCUGUUUUAAAAAACACAUAUAUUAACCAAAUAUGUUAUUAAAAAAUACAUUAAACAAAUAAAAAUAAUAAUAGUAAUUGAAAGAAGUUGAAACGUACUCUAAAAAUAAUAAUAACAAUAAAUUUGUAAUUGAAAAUUAUCCGUUAAGUUUUUAAAUUUAAUUUGUAAUCGAACCAAUUCUUGUUUUUUUCCUUUUGCCAUAAACAUGAAUUUCUUUUUAUUCAAUUAUCAAUGUGCGUGGCUUCAAGUGUUAUUAUUAUUAUUUUUUUUAGUAAUUUUAACUUAUCUCAAUUAUUAUUAUUACUCUUUUAAUUUGUUUAAUAUAUUUUUAAUAACAUGUUUUGUUAAUAUAUGAGAUUUUUUAACAAAAUUGAAAGUUGGAAAAAAAAUAUAUGUAUAAUUUUGAUUAAGAAAGAAUUAAAUUAAAUUAGAAAAAUGAAUUUAAUAAGAAAAAUUGAAGAUCGAAGAUUGUGAUAUUUAAAUAUAUAUAAAGAAAAAAAUAAAUUAAUUUAAUAAAAAAAGAUAUUUUUAGAAUUUGAAUGUAUAACAUAUAUAUAUUAAAUUAUAUGUGAGUAUGUAUAUAUAAAUAAUGAGAAAAAGUGAAGUGUGUGGGACCUACGUAUAUAAAUAAUGAGAAAAUAAAAAAAUGUGGGGUCCAGUGUUGUAUAAAUAUAAAAAUAAGGAAAAAAUAAAAUAUGUGGGAUCCACUGCAUAAAAGUCGUGGUACACGACUUCACCCCAAAUCACCUAUUUUUAAAAAUAGUUUUGCAUCCACCCUAUUUUUGAUAUAUGUUGCAAAUAUUACAUUAUUUUUAGAAAAAAUCCGUUUUUUGCAAUAACCAGUAAAUCGUUUUAACCUAUCUUCCAAUUAAAAAAAGAACUUGGACAUCCAUUAGAAUACACAACCAGGUGGACCAAACUCAUAAUUUAAACCAAAUUCUUUAUUUUGGUAUUUGUGUAUUUAGUUUUGAUAUCUUUACUGGUUAACAGAUAUAAGUCAGGUAACAUAUGAAUAUUUAGAAACUACAAUCGAAUAGAUUCAAGGAAUGAAAAAUAUAAGUUUGAGAGAUCUUCCUACUUUUCUUAGAACAACAGUUCGAGAUGAUAUCAUGCUCACUUUUAUCAUUCAAGCAAUGGAAAGAUCUAGAGAAGCACCUGUAGAUAACAUUGCUAUAUAAAUUUCUAUAUAUGUUCAUUACUUAUAUCGUUGAUAGAUAUGCUAAUAGGCUUCCAUCAACGUUCAUUUAAAUGAUAAAAAAUAAGAAAUUUAUUUGAAAUAACUUGUAAAUAGUUUAAUCUAUCUUCAAAUUAAAAAAGAAAAAAAAAAAACUUGGACAUCCAUCAGAAUAAAGAACCAUGUGGACCAAACUCAUCAUUUUAACCAAAUUCUUUAUUUUGAAGUUUGUGUAUUUAAAUUUUAAACUCUUUACUGGUUAACAGAUAUGAGUCAGCUAACAGAUGGAUAUUUAGAAACUACAAUCGGAUGGACUCAAGGAAUGAAAAAUAUACGUUUGAGAGACCUUCCUACUUUUCUUAGAACAACAAAUCUAGAUGAUAUUAUGAUCAAUUUUAUCCUUCAAGAAAUGAAAAGAUCUCGAGAAGCAUCUACAAUUAUAUUAAACACAUUUGAUGCAAUCGAAGGAGAUGUCAAAGAUUCUCUUUCAUCUAUCCUUCAGUCUAUUUACACUAUUGGUCCACUUCACAUGCUUGGCAACAAAAUAGAUGAUGAAAAACUAACAGCAAUUGGCUCAAACCUAUGGGCUGAGGAAUCAAAAUGCAUUGAGUGGCUUAACUCUAAGCAGCCCGACUCAGUUGUUUAUGUUAAUUUUGGUAGCAUCACAGUGAUGACACCACAACAAAUGGUUGAGUUUGCAUGGGGAUUAGCUGAUAGUGGGAAGCCAUUUUUGUGGAUUACAAGGCCUGAUUUAAUUGUGGGAGAUUCAGCCAUUAUGCCUCAAGAAUUUGUUACACAGACUAAAGAUAGAAGCUUGAUAUCAAGUUGGUGUAGUCAAGAACAAGUGUUGAGCCAUCCUUCAAUAGGAGGAUUUCUAACACAUAGUGGAUGGAAUUCAACUCUUGAGAGUAUAUGUGCUGGUGUUCCAAUGAUUUCAUGGCCUUUCUUUGCUGAACAACAAACAAAUUGUCGUUAUUGUUGCACUGAGUGGGGGAUUGGAAUGGAGAUUGACAACAAUGUAAAAAGAAAUGAAGUGGAGGAGUUAGUGAGAGAGUUGAUGGAUGGAGAAAAAGGUAAGAAAAUGAAAGAGAAUGUAAUGUAUUUGAAGAGUAAAGCUGAAGAAGCAUAUAAACCAGGUGGUUCUGCUUACAAGCAAUUGGAUAAGCUGAUCAAUGAAGUACUUUUGUCAAACAUAAAGAAGGUUUAAACUUUGGAUACAAAGUUCUCUGCUUUUACACCUAGUUGAUCUGAUUUUCUUCUUUAGGUCUAUGUAUUAUUAUAUUGAAUAUUAUUGCAUGGUUUUCAUUUUUAAAUAAAUUCUCCAAUUUGGUAUUUCAAUUUUCUUGGGUAGAAAACAUAAUUCAGAGUUGUAGUCUUCUUAAUCUACGAGGAUAAACUUGUAUUAGUUUCUUUAACUGAAUAGUUAUUCUUUAUUAGUUUCUAUCACGAUUAGACAUUGAAAAUUUUAUCAGCCUUUAUCAUUGAUAAGCUUCUAGCAUUGAUAGAUGACAUUGAUAGGUUUUUGUAUUUAUUCAUUAGUUAUAGUGUUGAUAUAGAUGAUGCUGAUAGACUUCCAUCAACUUCUAUCUCAAUAAUAAAGAAAUUUAGAAACUUUUCUAAUAACUUGUAAAUAGUUUAACCAAUCUUUCAAUUAAAAAAAAAAAAAACUUGAACAUCUAUUAAAAUACACAACCACCUGGACAAAACUCAUCAUUUAAAAAAAAAAAUCAUUAUUUUGGAAUCUGUGUAUUUAGUUUUGAAAUCUUUACAGGUUAAUAGAUAUGAGUCAGGUAACAGAUGGAUAUUUAAAAACUACAGUCGGAUGGACUCAAGGAAUGAAAAAUAUAUGUUUGAAAGACCUUCCUACUUUACUUGGAACAGUAGUUGAAGAUGACAUUAUGAUCAAUUUUAUCAUUCAAGCAAUGGAAAGAUCUCCAUAAGCAUCUGCAAUUAUAUUAAACACAUUUAAUAUAAUGGAAGGAGAUGUCAAAGAUUCUCUUUCUUUAUUUACACCAUCGGUCCACUUCACAUGCUUUCCAACCAAAUAGAUGAUGAGAAUCUAACAGCAAUUGGCUCAAACCUAUUGGCUGAGGAAUCAGAAUCCAUUGAGUGGCUUAACUCUAAGCAACCCAACUCAGUUGUUUAUGUUAAUUUUGGUAGCAUCACAGUGAUGACACCACAACAAUUGAUUGAGUUUGCAUGGGGAUUCGCUGAUAGUGGGAAGCCACUUUUGUGGAUUACAAGGCCUGAUUUAAUUGUGGGAGAUUCAGCCAUUAUGCCUCAAGAAUUUGUCACACAAACUAAAGAUAGAAGCAUGAUAGCAAGUUGGUGUAGUCAAGAACAAGUGUUGAACCAUCCUUCAAUAGGAGGAUUUGUAACACAUAGUGGAUGGAAUUCAACUCUUGAGAGAGUAUAUGUGCUGGUGUUCCAAUGAUAUGUUGGCCUUUCUUUGGUGAACAACAAACAAAUUGUCGUUAUUGUUGCACUGAGUGGGGGAUUGGAAUGGAGAUUGAUAACAAUGUAAUAAGAAGUGAAGUGGAGGAGUUAGUGGGAGAGUUGAUGGAUGGAGAAAAAGGUAAUUGAAAAUGAAAGAGAAUGUAAUGUAUUUGAAGAGUAAAGCUGAAGAAGCAUAUAAACCAGGUGGUUCUGCUUGCAAGCAAUUGGAUAAGCUGAUCAAUGAAGUACUUUUGUCAAACAUAAAGAAGGUUUAAGCUUUGUAUCCAAAGUUCUCUGCUGUUACACCUGGUUGAUCUGCUUUUCUUCUUUAGGAACCCUAUGUAUUAUUAUAUAUUGAAUAUUAUUGCAUUGUUUUUCUUCAAUAAAUUCUCCUAUUUGAUUUUUUUGAAGAGGAGCUCAUUAAUUAAGUAGGAAAAUGUAUAUAAAGAUUGUGGUAUAUGUUAGAUUGGAUCUCUUUCAGAAAAGCAUGUUGUAAAACUCUCUAAUCCUAACGACGUUGGUGAUAUGUAGUUUGAAUUAUUCUUUUUAAAAAUAAAUUGCACUUUUUUGUUUGUUUCACGAAUAUAACUAACACAUGGUUAGUUAAGCAAGCAAACAAUCUCUAUAUAUUUGAUUCUACAUUGUAUACAUAUAUUUUUCUUCUUUUAUCUUAAUUAAUGGUGAAUUUGUAACCGUGUCUUUCCAUUUUAUCUAUAUAUAUGUGCAAGAGAUCUCUUAACAUCCUCCUAUUGUUGUUGGUAUGAAUUUGAAAAUUCGUAAAAUUCAAAUAAUAGUAAAAGGUCCUCAUUAAACAUUAACAACUUAUCUUAAAAUGAAUUUGAAAUUUUUUAUCCAAACAAACCAUUUAAUUUGAAGUGCCACAAGCACUAUAAAUCAUUAUUAUUAUUAGAAAAUUUAUGAAAAAUAGCAAAUUUGACAGAAUAUUUACAAGUUAUAACACAAUUUCAUAUAUGUCAAUAUAUACCAAACAGUGAUAUCCUUCUAUCUAUGGCAUUGAAACUUACUGACUAUCUUUUGUAGAAUCUACAAAUUUUGAUACAUAUGAUAAAUAUUUUAAUUUAUUUUGCUAUUUUAAAAACUAUUUCGAAUAGUUUUAUUUGACAAUGGAUCGUUUGUCCAUCCAUUUAUUAUGACAACCAUAAGUAACAUCUGUAGUGGUCACGAUGGUUUUUUUGUUUUCUGUUCUUUUCGCGAGAUUCAUAUAUUAAUAAAUAAUUGAGAUACAUACAUUAAUCAAUCAACCAUCCAAAACCAAAAAGAUAUUUAUAAGUUCAAAUUAUCUUCUUGCUUCACCAGCUUAUAAGAAUAUUAGAAUUCUUACAUUUUUGUUUCUCAGAAAACUGAGCAAUUCCCCAUUUCAAGAAGAUCAAGAAAUUCAAUGAUGGAAUCUGUCUCACAGACUGAAAAACCACAUGCUGUAUGUAUCCCAUAUCCAGUCCAAGGCCAUAUCACCCCUAUGCUAAUGCUUGCUAAGCUUCUCCAUCACAGAGGUUUCUACAUAACUUUUGUCAAUACCGACUACAAUCAUCGUCGUCUUCUCCAAUCGAGAGGCCCCAACUCGCUCGAUGGCUUGCAAGAUUUUAAGUUCCGAACCAUUCCCGACGGCCUUCCUUACUCGGACGCCAACUGUACUCAAGAUAUUCCAGCACUCUGUGAAUCCACCUCCAAGAAUUGCUUAGCCCCUUUUUGUGAUCUUAUUUCACAACUUAACUCAAUGGCAGCUUCUCCUUCCAGUAAUAUGCCACCAGUUAGCUGCAUUGUUAGUGAUGCUGUUAUGUCUUUCUCUAUGUUGGCUGCCAAUGAGUUUAAAAUCCCUCAUGCUUUUCUUUGGACUGCUAGUGCUUGUGGCUAUCUUGGUUACUUCCAAUAUGAGCAUCUCAUUAAACAAGGCUUGAUUCCUCUUAAAGGUAUGGUUUCAUUUUAAUCUGUUUUCUUUUCUUUUUUAUGUCAAUCUUUGUUCAAAAUGGAUUUUUGUGUGGUAGAAUUUUAUUUUAAAAAUUAUGUUUUAACUUUUUUAUGGACAUUUUAGCAUAAUCAACUAAAAUAUUUAUAAAAUAUAUCAAAAUUUUACAGAUAUUGAUAGACAUAAAUAGACUUAUAUUAGUAUUAAUUGAUACUAAAUUUUUUCAAUUUUAUUUCUAAUAAAUCUAUAAAUUUAAAAAGUUUCUAAUAAUUAUAUACUUAAUUUUUUUUUCAUCUAACUCUUUCAACUUUUAAUGUUAUCUUUUUAUCAAGUCUUUCAUCCAUUUCAACAUUUUAAAAGUUACAAGUUUAAUUAUGUUCAUUAGACCCAAAACAAAUUUUCAUUCCAAAUUUUUUUAAAAAAAUUUAUAGAACAUGUCAAAAACCUAAGAAUGACAUAUAUAUUUUGAGAGGAUAUGAAUUUGAAAAUUUAGAAACAAAUGAGAUGCUUAUCGUUUCAAGAGAAAUUUUCAUGGUUAGAUAAGAUGCCAAACAAUUGAGAGUGAUAGACUUUUACCACCUCUAAAGUCUUAGUUCUGUCAGUUAGUGUUAGUGAUAGGCUUCUCAUUAUCCAUUUCUAUUAUUGAUAGACACCGAUAAACUUGUAUUAGUUUUUAAUAUUGAUACAUGACAUUGAUACAUAGAUUUCUAGAUGUGUUUAACCUAUAUUUUCUAAAUUUCUUAUCAACAUAUAUUCGAAAGAUAAGAAAUUUAAAGUUUUUCGCAAUAACCAGUACAUCGUUUAACCUAUCUUCCGAUUAAAAAAAGAACUUGGACAUCGAUUAGAAUACACAACCAGGUGGACCAAACUCAUAAUUUAAACCAAAUUCUUUAUUUUGGUAUUUGUGUAUUUAGUUUUGAUCUCUUUACUGGUUAACAGAUAUAAGUCAGAUAACAGAUGAAUAUUUAGAAACUACAAUCGAAUGAACUCAAGAAAUGAAAAAUAUAAGUUUGAGAGAUCUUCCUACUUUUCUUAGAACAACAGUUCGACAUGAUAUCAUGCUCACUUUUAUCAUUCAAGCAAUGGAAAGAUCUAAAGAAGCACCUGUAGAUGACAUUGAUAUACAAAAUUUUAUAUAUGUUCAUUACUUAUAUCGUUGAUAGAUAUGCUAAUAGGCUUCCAUUAACAUUCAUAUAAAUGAUAAAAAUAAGAAAUUUAUUUGCAAUAACUUGUAAAUAGUUUAAUACACCCAUUAGAAUAUACAACCAUGUGGACCAAACUCAUCAUUUUAACCAAAUUCUUUAUUUUGAAGUUUGUGUAUUUAAGUUUUGAACUCUUUACUGGUUAACAGAUAUGGAUCAGGUAACAAAUGGAUAUUUAGAAACUACAAUCGAAUGGACUCAAGGUAUGAAGAAUAUACGUUUGAGAGACCUUCCUACUUUUCUUAGAACAACAAAUCUAGAUGAUAUUAUGUUGAAUUUUCUCCUUCAAGAAAUGAAAAGAUCUCGAGAAGCAUCUACAAUUAUAUUAAGCACAUUUGAUGCAAUCGAAGGAGAUGUCAAAGAUUCUCUUUCAUCUAUCCUUCAGUCUAUUUACACUAUUGGUCCACUUCACAUGCUUGGCAACAAAAUAGAUGAUGAAAAACUAACAGCAAUUGGCUCAAACCUAUGGGUUGAGGAAUCAGAAUGCAUCGAGUGGCUUAACUCUAAGCAGCCCAACUCAGUUGUUUAUCUUAAUUUUGGUAGCAUCACAGUGAUGACACCACAACAAAUGGUUGAGUUUGCAUGGGGAUUAGCUGAUAGUGGGAAGCCAUUUUUGUGGAUUACAAGGCCUGAUUUAAUUGUGGGAAAUUCAGCCAUUAUGCCUCAAGAAUUUGUUACACAAACUAAAGAUAGAAGCUUGAUAGCAAGUUGGUGUAGUCAAGAACAAGUGUUGAACCAUCCUUCAAUAGGAGGAUUUCUAACACAUAGUGGAUGGAAUUCAACUCUUGAGAGUAUAUGUGCUGGUGUUCCAAUGAUUUCAUGGCCUUCCUUUGCUGAACAACAAACAAAUUGUCGUUAUUGUUGCACUGAGUGGGAGAUUGGAAUGGAGAUUGACAACAAUGUAAAAAGAAAUGAGGUGGAGAAGUUAGUGAGAGAGUUGAUGGAUGGAGAAAAAGGUAAGAAAAUGAAGGAGAACGCAAUGUUUUUGAAGAGUAAAGCUGAAGAAGCAUAUAAACCAGGUGGUUCUGCUUACAAGCAAUUGGAUAAGCUGAUCAAUGAAGUACUUUUGUCAAACAUAAAGAAGGUUUAAACUUUGUAUCCAAAGUUAUCUGGUCCUUACACCUAUUAGAUCUGCUUUUCUUCUUUAAUAACCUAUGUAUUAUUAUAUUGAAUAAUGUUGCAUGGUUUUUUUUUCAAUAAAUUCUCCUAUUUAAUAUUUUGAAGAGUAUCCCAUUUAAUUAAGUAGGAAAAUGUACUGUAUAAAGAUUAUGGUAUAUGUUAGAAUGGUAAUCUGCGUAUUUGUAGUAGCAGAGAGAAGCGUAUUGUAUAACUCUCUAAUUCUAAAGGUAUUGUUAUUGAACCAUCUACACCUUAUAUGCAUUUUUCUACUUUUGUCUUGAUUAUUUGUGGAUUCGUAGCAGUGUCUUUCCAUUUUAUAUAAAUAUAUGUGCAUGAGAUCCCUCAACAUUCUCGUUAUUAUGUUAUUAUGUUAUGAUUGUUGUUGGCAUAAAUUUGAAAAUGAGUAGCGUGACACAAAUCCAAAUAGUAGUAAAAGGUUCUCAUGAAAAAAGAACUAUUAACUACUUGACCUAGAAAGAUGUUUGGGGAUAAUUUUAUUAUUAGAGUAGAAAGAAAGAGUAGAAAGAAAGUGGAAUCCGAGAUUUAUGUUGAGAGUAAGUAUUAAAGAUUAUUGCCAUGUUUGAUCAGCAAGUAUUAAAGAAUUAAGUGAAAUUCAAUUAGUACUACUAGGUUGUUGUUCGAUCGAUAGUCGUAUUUUGUUAAAGAUAACUGUUAUAGUCUCCUUGCAAUCAAUGUAAAAUGAAUAGUUGUCUUUAGAACCAUGCUUAUCAAAAGUGUGUCUUGACGACUUGUUGAUCUUGAGGUUUUUAUGAGUUUAUGGUUAUUUCAACAUAUAGACUUUGGUUAUUUAAUAUCGUAUUACUUUUGAAAAUUGUUGUGUGAUCUAUGCUUGUUAGUUUGUUUGCAAUAAUUAUUUGUAUUCAACUUAGUUGUAAUCAAUUUUGCAGUCUUUUUAUUACAAAUUUUGACCAAAGAAAAAUACAUUUGACAUUCACGUGACAACAUCAAUAAGUUUGUAAUUUAAGAAAGAGGUGAGAAUUGCAAAAAAAAAGAGAAAAUAUUAGAGUAGAGCGUCUAAUUUCUUUAGUAUUAUUUAGUAAGAGACCUAAAUAAUAUUGAAGAAGUUAACCUCUUUUAAAUACCUCAUAAGAAAGCAUUUCUCGCGUGUUAUUACAUAUAUAUUUUACAAUAUACAUCUAAUUGUUGUCUUACGUUAUAUUAAACAUGGUCUAUUAUAGUCUAAUUCAACUAUAACAUCAAAGUUUCAUUAACUAAUUAUAAUAAAUUUCAUUCAUUUCUAUCUCCAUAAAUUUUCAUAAAAUCGAAUUCAUGAGGAAUGUAAUUUGAUAUUUUGAACCUUGCAACCCACCUAAUUUUAGCUAGUUAUAUAUAUAUAUAUAUAUAUUAGUCCAAUCAAUAAAUUACUAGUACUAGUUUCUUAUUCUAAUUCACUCAAUUAAAAUUAGAAUUGGUGAAAAGUAUUAAUUUGUAGAAUUUGAAUUGAUAUUUAAUCUGAAGGGGGCGGAUAUGGUACAAAUGAUUAAUUGUUAUACUGUUGUUUUUAUUUGGCAAUGCAUUAUUGGUUCAAUCCUUUAAUAUAACAUAACGAUAAGUAGGCACUCACGGUGGUCUUUUGUUCUAUUCCCAAGAUUCAUAUAUUAAUAAAUAAUUAAGAGACAUAUGAUCUGCAUAAUCAAUCAAUAAUCCAAAAGCAAAAAAGAUAUUUAUAAGUUCAAACUACUUCUUGCUUUUGUAGCCUGUAAGAAUAUUAGAAUUAUUUCUCCAAAAACUGAGCAAUUCCCCAUUUCAAGAAGAAAAGAAAAGAAGAUCAAGAAAUUCAAAGAUGGGAUCUGUCUCACACACUGAAAAACCACAUGCUGUAUGUAUCCCAUAUCCAGCCCAAGGCCAUAUCACCCCUAUGCUAAUGCUUGCUAAGCUUCUCCAUCACAAAGGUUUCUACAUAACUUUCGUCAACACCGACUACAAUAAUCGUCGUCUUCUCCAAUCCAGAGGCCCCAACUCGCUCGAUGGCUUGCAAGAUUUUAAGUUCCGAACCAUUCCCGACGGCCUUCCUUACUCAGAUGCCAACUGUACUCAAGAUAUUCCAGCACUCUGUGAAUCCACCUCCAAGAAUUGCUUAGCCCCUUUUUGUGAGCUUAUUUCACAACUCAACUCAAUGGCAGCUUCUCCUUCUAGUAAUAUGCCACCAGUUAGUUGUAUUGUUAGUGAUGCUAUUAUGUUUUUCUCUGUGAUGGCUGCCAAUGAGUUUAAAAUCCCUUAUGCUUUUAUUUGGACUGCUAGUGCUUGUGGCUACCUUGGUUACUUCCAAUAUGAGCAUCUCAUUAAAAAAGGCUUGAUUCCACUUAAAGGUAUGGUUCCAUUUUAAUGUGUGUUUUCUUUUCUUUUUUUCAUUUUUUUUCGAUCUUCCUUAAAAAUGAAUUUUUGUGUGGUAGAAUUUAAAAUUAAAAAUAAAAUUUAAAUUUUAGGGAGACUUUUUCAAAAAUGGUAUAAUCAACUAAAAUAUUUACAAAAUAUAUCAAAAUUUCAAAUCUUAUCCAUAGUAGAUAUAGAUAGAUUUCGCUCUUACUUGCUAUAUUUGAUAUAAUAACUUUUCUUAAUUUUAUUUUUAAUAAAUUCUUUUUUUUUAAAAAAAAAUGAUAGAACAUGUAAAAAAAAUUAACCUAAGAAUGACAUAUAUACUUAUUAGGAUAAAAAUUUGAAAAUUUAGAAACAAGUCAGAUACUUAUAUGUUUCAAGAGAAUACUUAUAUGUUUCAAGAGAAUUUUUUGUGGGAUAGACUUGUAUCAGUUUAAUUCUAUCACGUGAUAUAGUUAGUGUUGAUGAUGAGCUUCUCUCUGUCAAUUUCAAUCACAGAUAGAUAUUGAUAAACUUCUAUCAGCCUUUAUCAAUGAUAAGCUUCUAGUAUUGAUAGAUGACACUGAUAGAUUUCUACCUGUGUUUAGCCUGGAUUUUCUAAAUUUUUUAUUAGCGUCUAUCAGAAUGAUAAGAAAUUUAGAAUUUUUUGCAAUAACUAGUAAGUAGUUUAACCUAUCUUCCAAUUAAAAAAAGAACUUGGACAUCCACUAGAAUACACAAUCAUGUGGACCAAACUCAUCAUUUUAACCAAAUUCUUUAUUUUGAUGUUUGAGUAUUUAGUUUUGAUCUCUUCCCUGGUUAAUAGAUAUGAGUCAGGUAACAGAUGGAUAUUUAGAAACUACAAUCAGAUGGACUCAAGAAAUGACAAGUAUACGUUUGAGAGACCUUCCUACUUUUCUUAGAACAACAGUUCGAGAUGAUAACACCAUCAUUUUUGUUAUUCAAGCAAUGGAAAGAUCUCGAGAAGCAUCUGCAAUUAUAUUAAAUACAGUCGAUGCAAUCGAAGGAGAUGUCAAAGAUUCUCUUUCUUCUAUCCUUCAGUCUAUUUACACCAUUGGUCCACUUCACAUGCUUGCCAACCAAAUAAAUGAUGAAAAACUAACAGCAAUUAGCUCAAACCUAUGGGCUGAGGAAUCAGAAUGCAUUGAGUGGCUUAACUCUAAGCAACCCAACUCAGUUGUUUAUGUUAAUUUUGGUAGCAUCACAGUGAUGACACCACAACAAAUGAUUGAGUUUGCAUGGGGAUUAGCUGAUAGUGGGAAGCCAUUUUUGUGGAUUACAAGGCCUGAUUUAAUUGUGGGAGACUCAGCCAUUAUGUCUCAAGAAUUUGUCACACAAACUAAAGAUAGAAGCUUGAUAGCAAGUUGGUGUAGUCAAGAACAAGUGUUGAGCCAUCCUUCAAUAGGAGGAUUUGUAACACAUAGUGGAUGGAAUUCAACUCUUGAAAGUAUAUGUGCUGGUGUUCCAAUGAUAUGUUGGCCUUUCUUUUCUGAACAACAAACAAAUUGUCGUUAUUGUUGCACUGAGUGGGGGAUUGGAAUGGAGAUUGAUAACAAUGUAAUAAGAAGUGAAGUGGAGGAGUUAGUGAGAGAGUUGAUGGAUGGAGAAAAAGGUAAGAAAAUGAAAGAGAAUGUAAUGUAUUUGAAGAGUAAAGCUGAAGAAGCAUAUAAACCAGGUGGUUCUGCUUACAAGCAAUUGGAUAAGCUGAUCAAUGAAGUACUUUUGUCAAACAUAAAGAAGGUUUAAACUUUGUAUCCAAAGUUCUCUGCUUUACACCUAGUCGAUCUGCUUUUCUUCUUUAAGAACGUUUGUAUUACUAUAUUGAAUAAUUGCAUGGUUUUUCUGUUUCAAAAAAUCCUGCUAUUUGAUAUUAUGCAGAGUAUCUCAUUAAUUAAGUUUAGCUAAGAAGUAAUUAAGUUUAGCUAAGAAGUGUGUUGUAUAAAUUCUCUAAUUCUAAUAGCGUUUUUGAUAUGUAAUCUUAAUCAUUCUUUUUAAUAAUAAAUUACUCUUAUUUUUGUUCAUGGAUGCAUCUAACACGUGGUCGUUAGUUAAUCACAUAAAUAAUCUCAAUAUUGAUUCUACUUUAUAUAUUUUUUUCUGCUUUCAUCUCAAUUAUUCGUGGAUUCAUAACAAUGCUUUUCCAUUUUAUCAAUAACCUUUGGUUAUGUAAUAUCACUCUACUUUUCAAAUUUGUUGUUGAAUGGGAUGUGUUUGUCCGUUUGUGGUGCAAUUGUUUGUAUCCAAUUUAGCUGUAAUCAAUUUUGCAGUUUUUAAUUAUAAAUUUUGACAAAAUAAAAAAUACAUCUAACAUUCACGUCACAACAACAAUAACUAAUUUGUAAUUUAGGAAAGAGGUGACUUGCAAAACAAAGAAAAAAUAUCGAAGAAGUUAGACGUAUUUUAAUACCUCAUAUGAAAGUAUUAGUAUUAGUGGUGUAUUUAUAUAGAAAGCGAACUUAAAUUGUUCCUUAGAGAUUUCGAGUUGCCUUAUAAUGAUUAGGUUUCAUGGUUUCCUAGGGUCGACCUUAGAUCAAGCAUCUUCGUUAUGCCACAUUUUAGGUCCAAAAUGAUCAUCUCAUCGAUUGGGGCAUGUGUGAAGCCAAGCGCGUUGUCAGCCUCCUUUUCCUAGGCCAAUGUUGAUCUUUAGUUGCUCGACAUGUACCAUACAUUUUCUUGAUUUUGUCAUUUCUAAUAAUGUUAAUGUCAAUUAUACACUUUUGUCUAAAACUAACAGUAGUUUUAUUCAAUUAUUAUCCGCAACCUGUUUCCUUGAUAAUGCUUAGACGAGCAAUUGAAAAGAAUCAAAUAUAACAUAUAGUAUCUUGAUGUGAAUUAAACAGAAAGUAUUCUACUAUUGGUGAUUCCAAAUUAAUAAAGUCUUGCUUUCAAACCUCUCCAAUUAAGGCUAAUAUUAUUAAUAUAGAGUACUAUAUUUGAUGUAACAGCCAAACCACCACAACCACCAACACAGAAUUGUGGUAGAUAAAUUUAAUGGGAGAUUCAGCCAUUUUUGCCACAAGAAGAAUUUGUUAACAGAAGUAAAGAUUAGAAGGUUGAUAAAAAGUUGGUGUUGUCAAGAGAACAAGUGUUGAACCAUUCUUCAUAACUCAACUAUUGAUCAAAGUAUAUGAAAUGAGUGUUUCAAUGACGAUAUCAUCAUUGCCUUUCUAUGCUGAACAAUAACAAACAAAUUGUCAUUAUUGUUGCACUGAGUGGGAGAUUGGAAUGGAGAGGUUGACAAUAAUGUCAAAAGAAAUGAAGUGGAGGAGUUGGUGAGACAGUCGAUGGAUGGAAAGAAAAUUAAAUUAAGCGUAAGAAAUGAAAAAGUGAUGUGAAUUUGAAGAGUAAAGCUGAAGAGGCAUAUGAAAUUUGUUGGUUGUUCUUCUAUAAAAAAUAAAUUGUUUCUAGAAUUGUUUUGUAAUUUUCCACACAUAUUUCUAGAGUGACAUAUUUUCAUGAUCUAUAUUAUUAAUAAAUUAAACACACAUAUUAGUACUUGUUUUAUUUAGGUCAUGUAUUUAACAAGUUUUUGUGUUGUAGUUUAACAUUCGGUUCUAGGCGUUGAUCACAUGCAUCCAAGUGACCAAGUUUUAGGUGUCCAGACAUUUAAACGUCUUGUUGCUUUGAGUAUCCUAUUUCACUACUGCAUCUUUCAGUAUUUACACCAAUAGUAAAUAUUUUUCAGCAAUUUUAUCAUUUCAACGUAAACCCUUAAACUAAAAAAAAAGACGUUAAAAAGUAAUAUUAUUAAUACAUUGAUAGAACACUGGGUGUUUUUAUUCAAUUGAUAUAUACCUCUCAAGGAAGAGAGUAGAAAAACUACCACAAAAUUGAUCUCCCUUCCUUUCCUCACCAACUUCCCUAUUUAUAACCAUCAAACGGUUACAUAUUUAAUUACGCUUAUAUCUCUGUACUAUACUAAUUUAAGUAUCUAACAUACAUUUUUACACCAGCAUUCAAAAUAAAAACAAAAAAUUUAAGUUACAACAUAAAAUUCCACAAAAUCUCACAAAAUUCUAAAAUAAAUUGUUCUCCUAAGAACAUACUUUUUAAAGACAUUCUUGGAGAGACGACGAGUAUACGUGAGGUGACGACUGAGGAUGACGAGGAGUUGAGGAAGUUUGAUGGUGGAUGGGUUUUUUUAGGGUUUUUGACAUUUAUGGCUCAUUUACCUCUCCCAAACGCAACUUCCUUAUUCCAUUGUUACCUAAUGGGGCACACAUUAUUACAAGUGGAAGUUGAAAUUUAAUCUUAUUUUACACAUUUGGUUCACAGAUGUAAUAAGCUGUCCCAAGAACAGGUCAACCAAAUUGGAACUAAGAAAAGAACAGUUUGAGAAACCAAGGAAGAAUAAAAUCUUUCCCUAAAACCAAAGCAACUGACCAACCACCAAAUUAAACUCACAAAUCAACAACAACAAAAUAGUUAUCCAUAAUUAUCAAGAGAAAAUAAAAGGAAGUGACUGAUGAAUCUAGAUUCAAUCUGAGAAAUGAAGAAAAAUCGAUUAUAUACCACGAGAAAUAGGGAAUGGAUGCAGAGAUAAUACAUGGACAAUCUAUACACAAAGAUCAUAUAUAAAAACAAGAGUAGACCCACAAUCCCCAAGUCUAUGAAAGAAAUUAUUCUCCUAAGGGAAAUAAUAUCUAAAAUCUUUCUCAAUCCAAAAAUAAUCAACCAAUAUCUCGGCAGUGAAAACACUUACCAAAAGCUCAUUGAAACCUCAGCAUCUGCUGGGCAGCACUUCGAAACACCUCAAAAAGUACAACCUGGCCUCCAAAAGGCAAACACCAUGGGUAAACACAAUCUUGCAUUAAUACUUAAUGGGUUAUCAAGUAAUACAAACAAUAAAAUCCAUAUGAUAUUGAAUUAUUAUCUAGCCCACAACUUUCAUCAGACCACAAUAGUUAGAAGUUCAAUAAACCAUCUUUUAUCAAAGACUAGUGAAAAUAUGUUAGGUACCGAAAUAGGAAUAUUAGUAUGUUGUAUGUUAGUAUUAAGGGAUGUAUUGGUUAUUAGAUGGAAAGUUAGUUAUAUAAAUAGUACGAGGGCGAGUGAGUGGAAGGAGAGAGUAUUUUGUGUAGUAAUCUAGGGCUAUGAUGACAGCACUCAAGAGAGGGUUCCAAGUACCAUAAACUUCGUUAAUAUUGUAGUUUCUUCUUUAAUUUUUAAUAUAUUUUAGAUCUUGAUUCUUGUUAGGAAGUAUCCUAACAAAAUAGUUUCAAAAAGAGAAGUCUGUCGAAGUUUUCAUUAGAAGAAAAGAGGUGUAUGCCACCAUCCUGCAAAAAGUUUGGCCCUGGCCCAUACAUUUAAGCCCUUAUGCAAAAAAACAAUUCAUAGCAUCUUAAACCAAACAUGUAAAAGUUGUCCAGAGAAGUCAUCAAUAGUCCAUUUCAUUAACAAAAAAUCCCAAUCCAAUAUAUCAUCCAUUAGCUCUAAACUAUUAUGGUUGAGUGUUGGAUAUUACACAUCUUUUCAUCAAUCUUGCCUUAGCAAAACUUCACGUAAGUACAAGUUCAGGUGUUGAUAAUGACCCAUUUUUUCCUUAGUAGGUUGCUUAACAAAAGUUCUUAACAUCUACCAGAAAAUUAUUCAAGUACAAUAUUUCUCUAAGUCAAGCUUAAAAUUGGAGCACAUCAUAUGUUAGCAUCUCUUUAAAUAGUCGUUCAAACAAUGAUUGUUUGCACAUGUGAUUUGUUAUUUCUCUACAGUCUCUACAGUGAAUAAAGCCCGACUAAAUUUCACUAAACUACCAAACAAACGCAACAAAAUUUGAAUGCAAACAAAAAAUAUACAUGAAACAGGGUACCCAAAUAAGAGCCGAUAAGUACCUAUUAUGAGGACUCACAGACUUGAAACUAUCACUUCAACAAGCCCCAAUCAGCAAAUUCAAUUAGAAAUUUUUAAAACCUUUGAAAAGGAAACAAAUGUUUUAAAACCCCAAAACACUUCAACAAAUCAAAAUUCUUGAAUAGAAUACAGUCAAAUAUAAGACCUUAGUAAAAAAGAAAUCAAACCUUAUCACUUGAGGGGACAAAAUUAUUGCUAGCCAGUCUCAUCACUCCUCGGGUUGUUGGUGCCAAAGGAAAGAUGCAGUUGCCAACCCUUGAGUUCUACGAGCAGAAGGAGACGACUGACGAUGAGUGCAUUUAUUGCUACUCGUGCAUGGGAGUCCUGCACAAUGAAAGUUCAAAAACUUUGUAUGCCACUUAAUAACUACAAAAUAUAAAUUCAAAAAUCUUUUCAAUAGUGAAAAAUUACCAACUACAUCAUGGCGGCCUAACUGAAUAAUUUCUCAAGAAACACCAACUACCUUCAUUACAUUACAAUAAAGCUGAAAAUCCACCCAUUAGAUCAUAAAAAUGACCAAUGUUACAAAAACAAUUUGGCUGCCAGUUAGAAUUUCCUACCUCAUAUCCUUAGAUUUAAGCUGAUUGGCAAUCAUCUCUGAAUUUGUUAGGAACUCUUUAGAACUAAUCCAAGAAAAUGGGUCAUAGGAGUUCCACGGUGGAAGGGCAGCACAUUCUGGUCCAGUUUGUGAGGACACUCUGAAACAAAUUGUUAUUUUCUUUAUCCAUAUUACAUAGUACUAAAAAAUGAAGCAUAAGUCACAUCUGGCUUUAAAGCUACGAACCUCUUUAUUUUCACUUUCAAAGAGGUCUUGAAUCAAAUCCCUAUAUAACCGAACUGCUCUUAUAAAUUAAUGUUUAUGUAAAUCAUUGAACCCCUCUUCGUGAAUGAACUACUCGCUCUCCGAUCCUAAAACCAAAAUAAAUACCCAUAAUCAAUAAAUCAAAAAAAAAAGCAAGAGGUGAUAAAUUUAAUUUAGUCAUUCAAAUUUGAGAAGAAAUCACAAAAUAACACAAUUGAAUUACAUUUACAACAAUUAAACUGUCACUGAAUACAGAAACAUUCAAUAGAUGAAUUAAUUUCUUUCCAAACUUUGCCCUGCUUCCCAUCUGUGAAAUUAAACAGCUACAGCCUAUCGCAUCCCAUGAGUAGAAUUUAUAAAAACCUACAAAUAAUACAAUGUCAAAAACAAAUUUCACUCGAUCAGGAGACCCACAACACUACCCUUUUCUCUCUAGAAUUAAAGUAAAACAAAAGAGGAAAAAUGAAAACCUUAAGUGGAGACAUAAAUACCCAACCUACAUGUCACCUAUUCGCAUCAGAUGACUGAGAACAUCAAAUCUUUCAAAACCCCAAGUGGACUCGCAGACCUAGGAGCAAUGACUCAAGCAGGAAGUGCUAGAGAGAGUUGAGAGAAUGAGAGAGCAACAAUCGUGCAGUUGUGGCUGCUUUCAACGUUGAGAGGAGUUGGUCAAAAAAAAGAGUUAAUGUGAGAAAGAGAAAAUCGAAGAAGAUGAUGGGGGAUGGGUGUGUUGUGGCUACUUUCACGCAAAGGAGGUAGGGUUUUUCAACAAAAAUGAGAGAUAAUGGAAAAUAAAAUAGAGAAUAUUAUAUAGUUUGUGUACUUGAUAUUACUUGACUUUUUUAAAAUGUCAAGUUUAGGCAAGCUUGAAAAUAUAUGAAAGAUUCCGUGAAACUCCGCUUUUUUAUUAUUAUUCUUGACCUUUUCUGGAAAAGAUACAUGUUACUUGACAUUUAAAUAAUUAAAAGUUGCAUGCAUCACGUAAUGUCAAUUUUGUAGUAGGGAAUUGAACUUGAGAAGAAACUUUGAUGUUUGAUUACAUUUAAGUCAUGCUACAUGUGAAUUGUGCUGGUAUGAACUAAUACAAAUCAAAUAAAAUUCUAACCUCAAAGUUUCGUCUGAAUUUUUCCAUCACCAAUAGCUUCUACAAGAACAUGAGCCUUUCUUGAAAUGAUGGAACCUACUCGAGUCUCUCAAUACGAUCUCGUGGUCAAUAAUCAUGGAAAUGUAGGUUAAGGCACUGUGGCAAUCACCGCAGAUGCGCAAAUUCUUGUGUAUCCGAAUUGGCUGUCCUGGGGCUGUUGUUAAAAUCCCAUAAGCAACAGCCAACUUUUCACUAUGCUCAAACAGGAGAUCACCUUUCUCUUCAUCAUCAACAUCAUGAAGAGCAAAGCUCGUUUGAGGAACGUACCCCAUGUCUUUUAUUCGUUUAAUCAAAUCCAAAAGAAGAUUGUAUAUUUGCUCUGAUUCUGGAUGACUUCUAUCACCUACAAAGAAAGUUGUAGUGCUUUUCUUCCCUUGUAUCCAACUACAUCCCGGCCUCUUUCUGAUCCCGGUAUGCUUCAUCAAUGACCUAAUUCUUGCUACGUCUUUCCAACGUCGUGCAUUUGCAUACAAGUUUGAAAGUAAUGUGUAUGAACCAUCGUUCUCUGCCCCUAACUCUGUCAAUUUACUUGCUGCAUAUUCCCCAAGCUCAAUAUUUGCAUGGAUUCUACUGGCACUUAAUAAUGCCACCCAUACAACUGCAGUCGGCUCCAUUGACAUGUUUUUGAUGAGUUCCAUUGCUUCGUUAAGACGACCUGCACGACCCAAGAGAUCGACCAUACAUGCAUAAUGUUCGGCUCCAGGGGUAAUCCCAAAGCCCUUGACCAUAUCGUGGAAGUAGAUCAUGCCUUGAUCCACCAUUCCAGAGUGACUACAAGCAUAUAAAACGACAAGAAAGGUAAUCCCAUCAACAGCAAAACCCAGUUUCUGCAUUUGAUCAAAAAGAUGCAAAGCUUCUUCACCACGACCAUGCAUACCAUAGCCCGUCAUCAAAGAAGUCCAAGAAACAACAUUUCGUAAUUUCAUGUUGUCAAACACAGCUCGAGCAGCAUCAAUGUCCCCCGAUUUGGAAUACAUGUCAAUGAGGCAAUUGCCUACAUAUAAAACCUCAGACUCAUUUUCAUUCCGCAAAGCAUAGGCAUGGAGUUGUCUUCCAAGCCUUAACUCGCCCAAACGUGCACAAGCCAUCAAGGCACAUGAUAGAGUAAAGGCGUUAGGCUUUAAAGAGGUCUUCUGUUUAAAUAUCUGAGCAAACAGUUUUAAUGCAUCAUUGGCUUCCCCAUGCUGAGCAUAUCCACCAAUCAUCACAGUCCAAGUCACCACAUUCUUGUCUUUUCCUUCUAUCGAGUCAAAAAUGCUGCGAGCGACUCUAUAGCUUUUGCAUUUAGCAUACAUAUCAAUUAGACCGUUGAGAACCAACAAGUCGUCCUCUUUAUCAUUCCAAUUCAAGUUGAGAAUAUUUUUUAUGACAUACGCAUGUGUUUGCUUCCCAUAAAGCAAUGCUCCCACAGAUGCACAACCUGAAAGAAGAGACGCGAGAGUAACAACAUUGGGCUCCAACCCAUAAAGCUGCAUUUGUCUAAAUACAUCAAGGGCUUCAAAACCAUGCCCCUUUUGAGCGUACCCAGCAAUUACAGCACUCCACGUUAUCACAUCUAACUUGAUAUCUUCCUCUUGCAUCAUCUUAAACAAGGAAAGGGCACUAUCAAAGCUACCAAUCUGAGAAUACCCGGUGACCAUAGCAUUCCAAGAAACCACAUCCUUCUUCUUUAUCCCCUCAAAGACCUUGUUCGCCUCAUUCAUCUUUGAGCAUUUGGCAUACAUACUCACGAGAGCAUUGCCUACAAAUACAUCAUCCACCAAUCCAUUUCGUACUGAAAAUCCAUGUACCUGCUUACCAUGUUGAAGUGCAAAUACUGACGCACAAGCAGGAAGAAUAUUCACAAGCGUGAUUGCAUCCGGGCGAAGUUUAAGACUGUAGUGGUUACCCAUUCGAAAAGCAAUUCUAAGGGCAGUUCUUGACUGCCCACCUUGUACAUAAGCAGCAAGAAUUGAAUUCCAAGACACAAUGUCUUCAAUCUUUCUUUCAAGCACCUCAUCGAACAUUUGGUGUGCAUCAUCCAAUGCCCCACAUCGCCCGUACAUAGCCACAAUUGAAUUACAAAUAAAUACAUUUGACCCUAAUCCAUUUGCACAAACUAUGGCAUGAACUGAAGCACCAUGCCGUAACGAUGGUAUCUCACCACAGGCUUUGAGAACAAAAGGAAAGGUGUAAUGGUCAGGCAACCACCCAAGCCUCUGCAUCUGACAAUAAAAACCCAAUGUAUCAUCAAGGAGACCAAGUUUCACAGAGCGUCGAAUCAGUGCAUUCCACCAGAAAACGGUGGAAUGUGACGGUAUAAGACGUUGGAGGAGUGAUACAGCUUCUGCAGAAGCACCACACUCGAUAUAGGCACCAACGGCGUAGCUGAACAUUUCGGUGAAGCCAUGGACAAAAAUUUGCUGGUGAGCAAGCUUCGCAUUGAUCAACGUCUUGCAUUGUCUCAAUAAGGAAAUGAGGGGAAUGGUGGGAGGAGAAGUUGUAAAAGUAGAAUAGAAAUGAACUGAGGUGAUGAGGAUUCGACUAAGAUAUGAACCACAAUGGUGAUGUAUCAUAACACUGAAGAUUGAAAAAGAACUCGAGAAAAUGGACAUGAAUAUUACUUAAAGUGAAGCAGUCUUAGAGUGAUGGCAAGAUGUAGAACACUAGUGUAAUAGGAAAAGCCACAAGCAACCCAAAUAUAACCCUACAACAAAGCAAAGCAAAUCAUACUCAAUUAGUAAGGAACAUUAAUAAAGAAUGCAAAUUGAACAAAAUAAUAAUAAGCAAAUACAAACUUUAGCUUUGAAAUUACAUGUACGUUUAGUUCAUUCAUAAACUUAUAAAAUUGUCAAUUCUAUCCAAAAUUACAAUACAAAUUCUACAAAACUUCACAAGGCACGUUAAUUAACAAUGCAAAUUGAACAAAAUUUAACAAGUAUACAAAAUUUGGCAGUGAAACUACAUGCACAUGUGCCAAAGAAUCUAACUUUCUGUGUAUUUCACAAAUAGAGAAGGGUUUUCUCAACAACCCAUCACAAAUAUGGGAAAAAUAAAUUUAGCAACUAGUGCAAAUGUUUCUUGAUAAUCAACUCCAUAGGUCUGAGUAAACCGCCUAGCAAGCAAUCUGUCCUUGAACCUUUAAACACUACCAACAGCUUGACAAUUCACCGUGUACAUCCACCUAUUUGUUUAUUCUUUAGGGGCCCAACUGCCCCAUGUGCAAUUUUCACAACUACAAAAACUGUAUUACUUGAUGUUUUUUAACAGUCAAGUGGUGUAGUUGACGUUUUUAAAAAUGUUAAGUAGUCCAAUGUGAAGAAUAAGAGAAAUAUUUUUGACAGGGUAUAAGUGUCAAGAUGAAAUUUACUCGAUAUGUUGUAGAUGACAAGUACAUGAGAUCGGUUGACUUGGUUUAUGUGUCAAGUAUUUAAAUUCUUGACGUUUACUAUUGAUCAAGAAUAUUUAAAUCUUGACAGUUAUUUUCUAUCAAAUGGAAUUUCUUCUUGACACUAAAAAAUUGGCAACUAAAUUAAUAAUUAAUAUGUUUUGCACAUCAAGUUUUUUUUUAGUUGUACAAUUUGAAAUACCUAUAUAAUUGCAUCUGUUUUCACCUCUUCUGAAGUCCAACAAUGUUAUAAAAUGAUUUGAGGAAUCCAGACAACAAAUAAGUAAAAAUUUGGGUUUUCCCUCAAUCUAGCUAAACAACACAUGCUUUGGGUUUCAUCUUUAUGGUCACAUGUGUUGGGUUUAAAUUCUAUUAUAUUUGAUUCCUCUAUUCCAAAAUGUUAUGAAUUGUAACUUCGAAACUUAGUGACUAAAUUGAAACCAAACUUCAAAAUUAUCAUAAGAUCAAAAACACUAUCAACUAUCAUGAGAGAAAACCUGAAAAUAAUGUGAAUAUUCAAUAAUAAAUGUUAAUCAAAAUUAUCAACGGAACUACAAUAAAAAAAAUGUCUUAGAAUUUAAUCAUUUAUUAAACUAAUGAAAGUGAGAUAACUAAGAAACAGUAAAUUAUUACUAAGUUCUAUUAAAUACAUUUCUACCCCAUAAAAAUUAUCAUACCUACCUUGUUCCCACCAUCAUUGAAGCUUCUAGCAAAAGACUUGAGUGGUGAUCAAGGCUCUAUGCUCCAACAUAGGCCAAGUACUCCUAGACAUCAGCACCAUUGUGUCCAAAUCUGCAACAAUCAAUCUCACAACGUAAGCUAUUUUAAUUAUUCACACACAGAACAAAACAAUCAACCAGUGAGAGAAAGAACACAAAUACAUAAAGUGUUUUCAAUAAACUCAAGAAAACAACCAAAGUUCACAGCAGUGAAGUUACAGAUCCAAAGAACAGUUCAUCCAAAUUGGAACUAAGCAAAGAACAGUUUGAGAAACCAAGGAAAAAUAAAAUCUUUCACUAAAACCAAAGCAACUCACCAACCACCAAAUUAGAAGUCAAACUCAUAAAUCAACAACCACAUAAUGGUUAUCCAUAAUUAUCAAAAGAAAAUAAAAGGAAGAGACUGAUGGUGACUGCCAAAAUCUCUCAUCGGCCGCCAAUUGCAAAACAGAGAUUCAAUCUAGAAAUGAAGAAACAACGAUUGUAUACCACGAGAAAUAGGGAAAGGAUACAGAGAUAAUACAUGGACAAUCCAUACACACAAAGACCAUAUAUAAAAACAAGAGUAAACCCAAAAUCCCAAGUCCCCAAGUCUAUGAAAGAAAUUAUUCUCCUAACAAGGGAAAUAAUAUCUAAAAUCCUUCCCAAUCCAAAAAUAAUCAACCAAUAUCUCCGCAGUGAAAACACUUCCCAAAAGCUCGUUGAAACCUCAACUUCUGCUGGACAGCACUUCGAAACACCUCAGAAAGUACAACCUAACCUCCAAACACCAUGUGUAAGCAUGUAUUAAUACUUAAUGGGUUAUCAAGCAAACCCAUGUGGCAUUGAAUUAUUAUCUAGCCCACAACUUUCAUCAGACCACAAUAGUUGUAUGCCACUUAAUAACUACUACAUAUAACUUCAAGAAUCUUUUCUCUUGUACUUACAAUAGUGAAAAAUUAUCAGCUACAUUGUGGCGGCUCAACAGAAUAAUUUCUCAAUAAACACCAACUACCUUUGUUACAUUACAAUAAAGCUAAAGGAAUCCACCCAUUAGAUCAUAAAAAUGACCAAUGUUACAAAGAAUGAGGCAUACAAUGAAAGAAAGGAAAUCAGCUUCUGAAGAAAAUAGAGGCAGAAAUGAAAAAGAAUGAUUAUCCAAAACAGCCAUUCUUGCUAUGGAGUUUGAGUCUCGGUCCCUUGUACUUGGUCAACUCCAAAACCACAUGCCACAAACCUAAUCUUGUAAACGAAUUGUCAUUUGUGGCGAGCACUAAGUAAACAAACAUCCAGAGCCACACAAACCCCUCUCUGCCUUAACCUGUUGCAGACCGAAUUAACCUCAACUAUGUCUACAUAGCUAGACAGUUUGGGAAGUCAACAACCAAAUUUCAUGACAAGUGAACCUAGGGAAGCAAUGUGCUCAUUUCCAACACAUACCACGACCUCCUAACAACCUAUGUUUUAGGUUUUUCAUCCUCAUCCUCUGCCCACGAUCACCCCCACCCAAUCAUGUAUAUGAGGUCAAUUCCCAAUUUAAGUUAUGCAAUCUAAACAGUUCUGCCAAGACAACUUGACUAAUAUUUGUGGUUCAACUUGUGUUGCCCAAUGUGUUGGGUACCUGGAUUAAAGAAAGUAGCUUGAUUUUGAAAAGAAAGUUAAUAUAUGUUUCUAAAACAGAGCCAUGAAGAAAUUCAAUACAAAAAUCUCUACCCUUGUAAUCUACUAGAUUAAUCUAAAGAGCUGUUCUGAUUUGAAACGGGCGACGGAGUUGCUGACGCUGACGAACGGAACAACGCAAGGGCGGCGGACUAACAACUGAGGCGAGAGAUGACGACGGCAGCAGCGAGAGACGGUGCUGCUGCGUGAAGGAGAAUGAGCGCCAGCGAGGGCCGUAAAGAUGCUGGAGAGAAAAAGAUUGCCUUUGAGAUUUUAGGAAGAAAUCAGGGUUUUAACUUCCAAGAUUGUUGAAGGUUUGGGCAAAGAUUAUGUAAAGUAUAAUAAACUCCAUUAGAUACAACUCAAAUUAAAUAAUUUAUACUCAAACACGAAAUGUUUGAGGUGGGGAUUUAGGGGAUUAGGAAAAGGUUUAUGAUCAAAAUAUUGUUUGGACCAAGAGUUUGCAUUUAAUAGUCAGCUUCCUACUUCAUCUCAUCGUAAUACUAGACUCAUAACCUUUCUCCCAAACGCAUAUUAUCACAAUACUACAACAAUAAUUCUUCUCACAAACACAUAUUAUCAUAAUACUGUCAUUCAUAUUCUUUCUCCCAAACACAUAUUACUAUAACACUAUCAAUAAUAACUAUAACUUCCAAACACAUAUUAUCAUAACACUACUAUUCAUAUUCCUACUAUUCAUCAUCAUUCUCAUCUAAACGAGUUCUGCAUUAUGAACUAUGUAUCACGCAUAUGACUUAUAGAUGUGCUUUAAAAACAUAGGGUGAAAUGAAGAAAUAUAAUAUGAAAAGAGAAUCGGAUUCUAUUUGUACUGUAUCUGAGAUGAAUCUUGGCCAUUCCCGCCUUUCAACUCCCCUAGACUAGACUUUUGGGUCUUAUAAGCAACUAAUUGAAACUUUCAAAUAUGUAUAAAAUAUUCU
Molecule: long non-coding RNA, 50086 nt
Filed under: Cucumis sativus (cucumber)
Lineage: Eukaryota; Viridiplantae; Streptophyta; Magnoliopsida; Cucurbitales; Cucurbitaceae
Description: long non-coding RNA (CSAT_LNC002650)
Source: RNAcentral